AUGUCCAAGUGAUGAAUUUCCAACCGUAUUUGAGAAAGAAUGGAGAGUUCACUUAUUGCACCCUGAAAAAGACAAAAUCAAAACAAAUAAAUUUCUUAAAAAUAAAAGGUUGCAAUCAACAAAAUCAUGCAAUUCAAGGAAAAAGGAAAAAUGAUCAAGCAUGUGGAACCAUACAAUGUUCAAGGGAUAAAAACAUGAAAUGAGCUAAUCUUUGCUAAUCAAAUAUAUGCAUUAGUAUCCAAAGCAAAGGGAAGCUAAUUUCACACAAAAAAUCCACAAUCAUGAACAAAAUAAGUUCCAUUUAUACAUUUUGUCAUCAAUGAUCAAAUCCCCGCAAGUACAAAAGUAAUCUCAAAAUGGAGACAAACACACCAAACCAAAAUAUAAUGACCUUCUGAGAAUUCAUGAAAUACUAAAAACCAUUGAACCACAAGGAUUAUAAGUGCAUUUAUGAAUUUCAUCAAUUAAGGUCAUUUUCUUACUCACAUGAAUAUCAUAAACUCCCACAAAGCUAAUUAAAAUGCUACAUUGGCCACUUAAUAUGCAACUUGGUCAUCAAGCCAAAUUAAGCAUAAAACUAGCAAGAAUUCACCAAAUAAGUACAAUAAAUGCAAAUCACAAAAUAUAGUUAUCACUAACAAUCACCAAUAGCAUCAAUAAGAUCAAAUAAAUGCACCUAACUUCACAUAUUAAAAAUUGCCUAAAAAUAGAAAAUAUUCAUUCAUGGCAAAAUUCAAAUAACAAAGUUAGGUGAAGAAUUGUUACCUCAAGGUAGUUUGGUGAUGUUUAGAGAUGAAUAUGAUGUGAAAACCCCCAAGAACUUACUCCAAUAUGACCUCCAUUGAGUGAUUUCAAGAAGGUAGAACCCUAACUAAUGGUAAACUUGAACCACUUUAGAGUUGUUUUUGAAAGAAUAUGAACUAUGAAAUUCACUCUAGAGGAUAGGAGAAAGUGAUUUGGUGAAGGUUAUUUGAAGACUAAAUGGUGAGAAGUGGUGUUUUAGUGAGUGGUGUGUGUUUGAGGUGUUAGUGUGUGAGUUGGGUUGAAGAAGAAGGGAGAAAAAUUGUGAGAAAUCCGUGAAACGGAUUCAUCUUACGCUGGUUACUGUUCACAAUCCGGCCAGAAAUUGGAGGGAUUCAUGGAGGGAUUCUGGCAGAAUUUUUUUUUUUUUUUUUUUUAACUGUUGCAUAUCCGGCCAGUUUCUGGCCGGAUUCUUGGCCGGAUUUCAGGCCGGAUUUUCGGCCGGAUUCUGUCCAGAAUGCUCGAAAAAUUUUCUUCUCUCCCUGACUAUCCGGCCUUCAAUCCGGCCAACAUUUGGCCGGAUUUAUGGCCGGAUUUGCUGCAGAAAAAGCUGUUUUCUGCAGUUUUUCCUCCAAAUUUGCUUGGCCAACCUUCCACAUUCAACCUAUUUCAUGUUCUUUGAAUAAAAUUCAAAUUUAACAUGAUCAUGCAUGAAUAUAAGUUAAACAUGAAACACCUUAAAUGCAUGAAAUGCAGCAAUUGAACAUGAAAACUCCCUUUUUGCCUUAAUAUAAACACCUUUGCAAUUGAGAUCAUUUGCAUGAACUCUUGCCAUUGCCACCUACAAAACACACAAAAACAUUAAUCGAACAAUUAAAACUUACUAAAAACAAGCCAACAUGAAGAAAAGUGGAGUUGAAAAGUGAUCCAAGCCUUCGUUUUAACAGGAUCCGAGGUCGUUUUUGAAAGGAUCCGAGGUCGGAUCAUUGUGAGUGAGCUCGGAUCAAGAAGUUCGAAAUUUUUUUUUUUUUUUUCUGAUUGCAGAAGUAGAUCCGAGGCCUCGGAUCCAUAUGGAUCCGAGCUCGGAUCCAUUGAACCUGAACUUAUUGCAGAAUUUUUGCAAUUUUUCAGUUUGACCCCAAUUUUUCAAAAUACACCCUAGAUCAUUUCUAUAUCAAAAUAAACCAUUCACGCACAUGUAAAAUGAUCUAAACAUGCAUUCUAAACCUCUUUAAUGCAUCAAAAACCAUAAUUACUGAAAUUGAGGUAUUGAGAUCUUUGAUCAAACUUCGCCCUUUUCUCCUCAUUUGGUCACUUUUCAAAACCUACAAAUGAAAAACAACAAAAUUACUCAAACUUAUACUUUAAACAUAAAAUCACUCCAAAGUAACACCAACUUAAACAAGCAUUGGGUUGCCUCCCAAUAAGCGCUUCUUUAAAGUCAAUAGCUUGACUAUAUCACCUCAUUUUUCAAGGAGGUUUAGUUAACGAAUAAUCCACCAUUUUAGGCCUUGGUGGAUCAUUAAAAGGUGACUUUAUAGCAAAAGCCACAUGAUCUAAUGAUGUGAGAAAUGAAAGUGACUUACCUAUACCAAGUGUUUCACUUAAUUUCCAAUCUUUUAGAUACAUACACUACAAGAAAAUUGGUCUUUUGUGACAACAAAAAGCCGUCAUUGAAAGCCAAAAAGUCGUCAUUAUAUGGAUAAAGUGACAAAUUUUUCCGUUGUCACGUGGUUGUCACAGAUUCUAUGUCACAAAUGAAUCCAUGUGACAACCUUUUAAAAGCUGUCACAGAAUCUUGUUAUUCAAUGACGAGAAGAAAGUCAUCACUAAUGGAUAUCAUUCUGUGAUGACUUUUCUUGUCACCAUUUCACUUAUAUUUUUGUCAUAGAUGUAGCAAAAGUCAUCACAAAUUUGAAGUCUACAGUGACGACUUGAAUUUGUCACUAUCAAUCCUAUUAUUCAGUAACAAGAAUAGUUGUCACUUAGUGAACUUGCAUGUAGUGACAACCUUCGAAAGUUGUCACUGAACUUUGUUUUGAAGAGUUAAAAUUAAUCAUUACGAAUAUAGCAUUUCCAAUAAAUUAUAGUAGAACAUUCAAAUUGACAAAAACCAAAAUUAAUUUAGAAUGAAGCCACAAAUUCAUAUAUAUGGCCAUAAACAUCUGUAAAUUCAUCAAAAUAGAAGUCAACCAAAAAUAUUGGAUCCCAAAACUCACAUAAUCAGUUCAAGCACUAAUGGCCAAUACAUAUCCUUUCCAAAAAAUAGAGUACUAGAUUUCUAAACUAAAACAUAGAUUGCACCACCAAUGUCAGACUUCAACCACUCUAUCAUCAUAUCCAACAGACUCCUCGUGAUCAAUAUCAAGGUGGACUGCAUUGAAAAUAAAGUAUUAUAUGCAUUAGAAUAGACUUUAGUCAGAAAAUAUGAUAUUACAACCUUACACUACUAAAUUUAAAUGAAUAGUCAUACAAAACAAGACUCCAAUUACUGUCAACAUGAUAAGAAGUAAAAGAAUCAGUCAAAAUAGAGUUUUAGCCAAAAUAAAGAGAACAUUAUUAAUUAUUUCCAAACAACUUAUUUGUUAGACAUAUUUGCUUAGCCAACAUAUUCGGAAUAUAAGCAAGUGAUAGCAUAAAUUUGUUCAUGCUUUGUUUGGUAACAACUUGGUAGAAGCGCAUUUCUUCAGUUAAAUUUUUAAUAAAAUCAAGCUUCAUCUAUGAUGAUACUAGUUGCUGAAUUAAUCUUUGUCCAGAACUCGGUGAAAGUUAAUUCCUUGAAGGUUGACUAGAUGAUCCAAUAUUUUCACAGUGAUCCAUUUCAUGAGUUAGAAGUCAAAGAGCAAGCUUCUAUUAGAUAUGUGUGAAGAAGCAAUUUCUAAUAUUGUUCUAUAUAUUAAGAAACUUUACUGAGGUAAAUAAUUGAAUUAGGUAGUUGGGAAACUGUUCAGUAGAUAGUUUGAUGAUAUUAAGUGCCAAAGUCAAUAUCUGCAAAUGCGAUCAUAACUAUGGGAAAAUCAUUUGUAAAAACUGUGAAUGUCAUUUAGUUUUUAUUAUGAAUACUUGCCUCUAUUAGCAAUUAGGGAAAAAAUAGCUAAUAUUGAGAAUACAUAUAUGAAUGACUGUUUCGUUUGUUCAAAUUCAAUAUAUGUACUAAUGGGCAGGGGUAGUAAUACGAUUAUUAGUAUAAAGUGUGCAUAGUUGCGGUAAAAGAAGUUAAAAAAUAAAUGCAUGAGCAAGGGAACAAACUAAACAGAAUCUAUAGCCAAAUAUACAUGGAAAAAAUUGGCAAACUAAAAAUAAAGCCAUAACAUGAAUAAUCAAUUUCAUAAGCUAAAUUCGCUAGCUAACAACACAAUGCAUUUUUAGAAACACAGAACCAGCCACUGCAUAUUUGUAAAAAGAAGAUGCCCAAUGCAGAAAUAACAACAUGGUAUAGCAAAAAUAUAAAUUCGAAGCCUAAAUAAAUAACUAAUCUUAUAGAACUAUAAGUAAGAGAAGUACCUGAAACUCAAGCCUCAACAAACCAAGAGCAAUGACACUGAAAAAAAAAAAAAAGCAAGACAGACAAUGAAAGUAACUAAAAAGUGCAAUUGGGGUAAACAGAUUCAUUAUCGAAUAGCAGAGAAAAUAAGGAGGCAUGUUAACCAUUCAACAAAUCCAAAGUAUUCAAAUAUAAAGUAUAUACCUGCAGACAAUAAAAGGAGUAAAAUGCAAGACAUGUAAACCAGAAGAGAACCACAAGGAAUAUCCCACAAUACUUUGGUAGCUGCUACAACAAGAAAAAGAGCAAGAGAUUAAAUACUUGCCUGAAGAAAAAUAGCAGUUGAUAGUGCGUUGAACAGAUUGUAAGAAACCAAUGCAGCAAAACACGAACAACAGAGAAGCUAAACACACAGCUGAACAAUAAAGCUUUAUAUAUAUACAUAUAUACAUAUAUAUAUAUAUAUAUAAAGCCAAGAAUCAGAUGAAUGUCCUAGAGUACUUUCAGAGGCAUUACAACAAGCUACAUGAGGGAAAAUAAAAACCCAAAAAAAAGGACAGAGAAUGAAUACCUGCAUAUAGCAAUAACAGGUGUAGACAGUGCGAUGAACAAAAAUCAAGAAACCAGCAAACAAAAAGAAGCUAAACUAUAAACACCCAAAAAAGAGGCCAUAACAGAAGAGAAUACAAAGUAGCUUUUUUUCAUGAAAAGCUGGAAAGAGAAUGUUUGAAUAUUGGAAUUCACUGAAACAAUUAAGAUGUCCAAAUUGUGCAGUUGCAGAGUAAAUCUUUCUUGCUAAUACAAAUGAGAGGAGAUGGAAUUAAAUGGUACAAAAGCCACACAAUACAAUUGAAGGGAGAAAGUAUCAAGUACAGUUUUCAAAAAGGAGGUGUAUUUUCAAAUAGUUGACUUUUGGUUUAAAUUCCUUAUUUCGCUCCAACCCAUACAAACUAACCUCAGCUAGUACCAAGUAACAUUCCAAACUCCCCAAGUUUAAGCACAAGUUUGGAUCUUUUGGCAAGAAAAUAAGACUCCAAGAUUACCAAAGUCAUCAAUCUGUUUAUCAAUUUGCUAUAUAAAAUAUUCGUUCAUCCCUAAGCAAUUUAUCUCCUGCCCACGAAGAUUAAAUCUCAAGUUGCUUUUGACAUUUACCAAUUGACUAUUCGUAUUUCAAAAACUUCAGCAAAAAUGUAAGGAUUCCAUCCCCCAAUUUAACAUAGAAGGGAGCCCUGCCAGGUCCGACUAGAAACCCAGUUGCACUAGAUCAAAUUCAAUGACUAUCAUUGAGUAGCACAAUCUCCAAAACAUUUUAGCUGAAAAUCAAGACUUUAAGAUGAUAUGAGAUGUAAAAAAGGAAAAGAAUAGGAAUGAAAUACAAUAGAUAGAAGGAAACCAAGCAUAAGAUAAAACCAUCACAGCAUGUUAAACAAACCCUGAUUCGAAAUGUCAAAAGUAACCACUAAGAUUAUGUACGAUGCAAUAGAAAAUUAGACACAAAAUAUCGAAAAUACCUCAAGUCAUGCCUUCAAUUCCUAAACUCUUGUUUUCCCCCAAGUUUCAAGCUCUAAACUGCAGCUUUCUCCUAAUUUUCAUGCCCUAAAUUCUGAUUUCUUGCCACCAAGCCAGUGUUACAACCGAAUUAGGGAUUUUGGUAGUGCGAGGUCAAUAAAGCUGCCCAAAUUCAAAGUGUUCAAACUAAUUAGUGGAGUAGCAUAGACAAGGAUGACAAUGGCGAACUCCAAUGAAUUUAUGGAUGUAUUUGGUAGAGGAGAGAGUGGAGCAGGUGGACAUUUUCGGCUAAGUAAAGAGGAUGGAGAAGAGAUAAAAUUGGAUAUGAAAAUUUGGUCAAGUGUUGUGGGUAUAGAAUGCGAAUGUGUCCAACCAAUGUCGUACUUUGAAAAAUCCUUCAGCCCGCCAUACCUCUUCAAUUUUUCAGUUUGCCGCUCUUAGUUUCUUACGUAUAAAUAAUGCGCAUUUCUCCUAUUUAGCAGUAAGAUUCAUGCUUUCUUCCUCCUUCUCCUAUUUUUGUAUUUUCAUUUCCUCAUCUACAUGUAAUUAAUUUUUUUAUUUUGAGUUUUCUUUUUAUUUAACUCUGAAAUUGUAUUAAAAUUUUAGAAUUUGAAAAUUUAAUGUGUUUGGGCAAAGAUUUUUAAAAUUUUCUUUUACUAAUAUAGGACUUUUUCUAAUUUAUAAUAAAAAAUACUUCAAAAAAUAAAAAGGUUGUUAAAAAAUGUAUUCAUGACUAAAAAAAUUCUUUUAAUGAAAACAGUUUUGAUACUCAUUUUAUGGUUCUAUCAAUCAUGUAUGAACUACAAUCUGACAAGACCUGGCAAUCAGUUUAGUUGAUCGAACAAUCAAAAUAGUUUGCUAAUGAAACGUCAAAUAUAUUUGGUACAAGUAUUGGUUCAUAAAUGAUACAUGUUGUCUUGAUGACUAAAUAGGCAAUUUGUGAAAUUUUUUAUCUUGGGCUUAGGGACAUAGUUAUCUAAUAAAAAGACCUAUCUGCCAUAUAACUAUUGUAAUGAAAGAUAUAUCUUUAGAAUUUAUAACAAAUUAUUACCUAAGUUUGGAAAAAUUAUAAAAUGUGUAUACAUAGUUUAUUAAGAUACCAUCUGCAAAUUGCUAAUGAAAAAAUAGGGGCUAAAUUGCAAAAGAUAGGGUGCCAUAAUAGAAAUAAUAAAAUUGGUGUGUUACAUAUGGGGUUAAAUUGGUGUCUUUUUGGAUAAUUUGUUUUCCUAAUGUAGGUUUUUUCAGGAUCUGUACAAAAAAAAUAAUGUUCAAAAACUAAAAAGCUUAUUAAAGAUAUGUUUAUAAUUCAAAAAAACUCUUUUAAUGAAAAUAUUUUUGGUAUCAAUUUAAUAAUUUUAUCAAUUAUGUACGAAUUGUGGUUUGACAAGACCUAAUAAUCUAUUUAGUUGAUCAAAUAACCAAAAAGUUUGCUAAUACAUGCAUGAAAGACUAAAUGCAUUUGGUACAAGUACCGAUUCAUAAAACCAUAAAUAAUUUGACUAUUGUAAUUAAUAAUAAACUCCAGUCAUGCAAUUGUCAAGAUUUUACUUAGUUUCAUAUUAAAUUUUAUUGUUCUUUGCCAUUUUUUUCACACUGUGCUAAUCAAUAAUUUUCCAUAUGUUGUCAAGAGAACUAGACAGGGAUCCAUGAUAUAUUUUAACUUUAUAACAAGUUAUUAUCUAAGUUUGGAACAAUUAUAAAAUAUGUAUACAUUUUUUAGUAAAAUACUUUCCUCAUUUUGCAAAUGAAAAACAUAGUCUAAAGUGUAAAGCAUAGAGUGCCAUAUUAGAAUUAAUGAAAUCGGUUUAUCACAUACGAGCUUAAAUUGCAAAAGAUAAGGUGUCAUGGUAGAGAUAAUGAGAUUAGUUUACCACAUAUGGGGCUAAAAUGUAAAAGUUAGGGUGUCAUAAUAGAAUUAAUAAAAUUUAUUUACAACAUAUGGGCCAUAUUGAAAAAUUAGGGUGGCAUAGUAGAAUUAAUGAAAGUGAGUUAGGAACAAGCACUUUAAAUAGUGACGACUAAUUGUUAUCACUAAUUCUAAAUCGGUUACCCUAUUGUGACGACAUUGUAAAUUAUCACUAUAGGAUCUAUUUCAGUGACAACGUUUUUCUAAGAUCAUCAUAAUGGUGAUUUCCCGCCACACCGGUCAAUUGCGCGCCCCCAUAUUGUGACGACUAAUCCUGUGUUGUCACUGAUGACGAGUCUACCCCGGUCAACUAUGAUGACAUCAAAAGUCGUCACUAAAGUUGGUCAAUUGUGACAAGUUUCUCUAUUGUCACUAAGAAUGUUGUCACAAAAGGCCAAUUUCUUGUAAUGAUAGAGAAGAUUUCUCUUGCCUACUAUCUCAUUAAUUUGAAUGGCUUACUAAGUAAUUAAUCAAGCUUCCCAACUAACUAAUUGAUUCAGCAAAUUAUUUAACAUAUUCCCUUUCUUAAUGUGCUGUUCCGCGAACUCCAAGCAGCUCUCGAAAAUAGUUGAACUUGUUUUUUGGAAGUGCCUUGGUAAAGAUGUCUGCAACUUAGUUUUCACUCAUGCAAAAUUUUAACUCAACUUCACCAUCCUCAAUUGUAUAUCGAAUAAAAUGGUGCUUGAUAGCAAUAUGGCAAGUUCUGCUAUGAUAAAUUGAAUUUCUGGCAAUGUCAAUUGUUGAUUUGUUGUCAUAGAACAUUAUCGUAGCUCCUUUUGCUUCUCACCAAUGUCUUCAAAAAUUCUCCUAUGCCAAAUGACUUGUGCUGUUGCCAAACUUGUGAACACACAUUCAACUUUAGUGGAUAAUUGUGCCAUACUUUGUUGCUUCUUUAAUGCCCAAGAAAAUACUCCAGAACCAAACGAAAAGAAAUAGCGUAAGGUGCUCUUCAUAUCAUCAAGGCAUCCACCCCAAUCACUAUCAUAAUAACCAUACAAAUUUAAAGUAUCGCAUUUGCUAAAUUUAAUGCUGUAGUUGAGUGUGCUUUUGAUGUAUCUUAACACAUUUCUGGCUGCUCCAAAAUGUAAUUGACUAGGGUUGUGAAUAAACCUUGACAAUAAACUUGAAGCAAACAUGAUAUCUAGACUUGUAGCUGUGAGAUAAAGCAAAUUUCCCACCAAACUUCUAUACAAAGUGGAAUCAUUUUUUUUUUACCAUAUUUGACAAAUUGAUCACUUACAACAAGUGAUGUGGGCAUAGGUUUACAAUCAGCCAUGCCAUGCAAAAUUUCACAGGAAUAUUUUCAGCAUAUUUCUUUUGACAAAUAAAGGCCUCCAUCAUCAUAUUGAUAAAUCUCCAUGCCAAGAAAAUGAUGUAACAAUCCCAUAUCAUUCAUUUCAUAUCUUUUCAUUACGUCUUUUUUAAAAUCAGCUAUCAUAUUUUAAUUGUUACUGGUAUAACUAGCAAAUCAUCAACAUAUAAAACAACAAUGAGAAUGUUAGAUUCACCUUGGGUUUUCACAUGCAAGGUUAGCUCACUUUUACUCUUCUUGAAUUCUUGCUCCAUGAAAUAAGAAUCAAUUUGGCAAUACCAAACCCUUAGAAUUUGUUUCAUUCCAUACAAUACUUUCUUCAACUUAUAUACUUUGUCUUCUUGUCCUUCUUUGAUAAAGUCUUAAGGUUGUUGAACAUACACUUCUUCCUUCAAUUCUGCAUUCAAAAGGUAGAUUUAAUAUCAAGUUGGUAGAGAUUCCAGCCUUUUCGGGUUGCCACGGUAAUAAGAGCUCUAAUUGUGCCAAAUCUUGCAACUAGUGCUGCUGCGAAUAACCCUUAGCAACAAGUCUUGCCUUCUUCUUUUGGAUUGAACCAUCCAAAUUUAGUUUGACAUUGUAAAUCCACUUGAUACCAAUGAUCUCCUUGUCUUGAGAUUUUUCAACUAGUUUCCUAGUCUUGUUCUUCUCAAUUGCAUAAAUGUCAUCUUCCAUUGCCUUUCUCCAAUCCUUUUCUGCAUAUGCUUCUUCAGAAUUUUCCGGCUCAAACAUGCAAAAAUUGCAUCUUGCAUAAACAUCACUCAAACUCCUCAUUUUCUUUAGAGUUGAGAUUGGAGAACUCGAACUUUAACUUGGAGAUGAUAGUGGACUCCUUAUUGGUUUUGAAUCAUCACCAUUUUCUCGUCAUUUGUUGAAUUUGCAUCUUCUUCAUGAUGAUAGAUAGCAUGCUUCACAAUCUUUUUCUCAUUCCAAUUCCAAGUAGCAUUUUCAUCAAAUACAACAUCUUGAUUAAUGAUGAUUUUGUUAGUUUUCAAAUUAAACAAUCUAUAGCCUUUAGACUUGGAGUUAUAACCAGCAAAAAUACAUUUUCACUUACUUCCUCAAUCUUGUACACUUUUCUUUUGGAAUUUGAGCAUAGCAAAUGCUCCCAAAGACUUUUUCAGUGUUUCACCGAUGGUUUCCUUUCAUUCGAUGUUUCAAUUAGUGUUUGAUUCGACACGACCUUUGUAGGAUUUCGAUUGAGCAAAUAAAGCAAGUAAAUGGACAAAAAAAUAAACCUGACCUGUACUAAAAAUUGGACAAAAAAUAAAGCAAGUAAAUCCGAGUUCGGAUCUGUACUAAACCUGAUCUCGGAUAAAUUUCUGUAAUGAGAGGCUACAUCCGAGAGGAGGAUCCAAGCUCGGAUCCCCAUGUUACAGGCCUCGGAUCCUAAUGUGCAGUGAAGAUAAAAAUGGAAAAAAAAUGAGAUCCGAGAGGUAUUUUGAGCGAUCCAACCUCGGAUCCUCAGUUGCGGCUCUACAACUUGUGCUCUGUUCACACAAGCAUUUUUUACCAAUUGAUCUGCAAGAAAUCCAGCUAGAACUGAGGAAGCAAGUAUAGAGAAUUCAAGAAGUAUAUUUUGGUGAUUCAAAGGAGCAAUUUACAUCAAUUUUAACAACUCACCUUGAUCUUGAAUUUCUCUAUAAAUAGCAGUCUCAGAGGACAUUUUCACAACUUUUGGAAGGCUGCAGAAAAUCACCAAAAAUGUAGUCUUCACUAGUUUUUCUUAGUUCAUUAGUUAGAGCAGAUUAGUAUAGUUAGUGUAGUUUAUCUUUCUUGUAUUUGUAGCUACAUUUGGAUGAAGAUUGAGGAGCAAAGAUGUAGAGAUUGAUCUCAUGUGACAAGGGUGAUAUCUUUUCUACUACUUUCUCUCUUGUAUUGGAUUUCAUGUUUAGUUAUAAUAUAAGUUUGGCUUUGUGUUUCUAUUAUGUUUAGUUAAAGUUUAUAUCUAGAGUAUGGAUGAACUUUCUAUAUCUUGUUAGUGAUAUUUACUUGGUUACUUGAUGAUAUUAUUUUGAGCAAGUUAUUUAUCACUUUUGCUUUUCUAAUCAUGAUUAACCGGCCAUUAAUUGUAAUAAUCUUAAGGUGCUAAGUUUGCAAUGAAAAUUGGAAUUUAGCACUAGUUUAAGGAAGUGAUAAACCUAGGGAGUACAUUCACGAAAGUAGAUGUGCACCUUUGUGGUUUUAGUGACUUGUUUCAUGUAAUUUCAUAAAAGAAAUGAACUUGUAGCUAAAUUCUUAACCACAAAAGUAGGUAUAAAUUAACUAUAGGUAUAGUUGGUACACUAGCGAAAGUGGGUAUCACAUACAUUAGGAAAUUACGUCAUAAUUAACCAAGAUAAUAGUUUUCAUUUAACCGGUAAUUUCAUUUGCAAUAGUAGUAAGGAAUUCCAUAUCUCUAAGAGCUUUCUUCUGUUGUUAUUUUUAUUAUUGUUAUCUCAUGUUUAUAGUGUAGAUUUAAUAUCUAGUACUUGUGACAGUCUAAAUAAUAAAGGUGUUUGAAAAACAUCGGUAAUUGACAAUUUUCCCUGUGGGUUCAACCCUUAAUACCCUGUACUCAAUCGUGACUUGUAUACUUACAAACAAUUGUGUGUUGGGUAUUUAAAAUUUUAUAAAUAUAAAACUUGACUGUGAAUAAACUAAUUGAUAUAUGUAUGCCCCGUACUUGUCAAGUUUUUGGCAUCAUUGUCGGAGAUGAUUUGCUCAAUUUCGGCGCUAAAAAUAACUUUAUUAGUUUAGACAUUUUAAUAGUUUUUCUUGUAUAUUAAUUGAGUCUAGUUUGUUGUGUGAUUGUUGAGUUAGUCUUGACUUUUAUUUUCUUUUAUUUUUGUGUUUAAUGUGUAUAUGUAUUUUAUCACCUAUUCUUCUUACUAACCUUGCUCUUAACUUGUUUAAAAGCAAUUUUAGGUAAUGAAGAGGGUAGGUCAAUUUGGAGAACAAUGCAUGAGAAUUGAAAGUUAGGCAAUGAAUGGCUACUACGUGCAAAGCUCCAUGGAUAGAGGUGACCAAGAAAUUAUUGAAGGUAUAUCAUUUGAUGAUGGCUUGAGGUGCUUAAAAGCUAAAUGGGAUUUUAUAACAUUAAAAGUUCAAUUGUACACAUUACAAAUGUGCUAGAACAAAAGAGGAAUUUUAAUGCUUUCAAUUCUUAUCAUGAAAUUUGUGACUUGUGUGGAGAUGAUCAUGCUACUUAUAUAUGUAGGCAAGUACAAAAUGUGAAUUAUUGUGAUGAAUUGGGGUAUUACAAUCCUUAUUUUAUCAAAAUGGACCUAAUUGGAGAAAUUCUUAUACUUAUGGAUGCAUAUAGUGAUUCUCCAAGUUUUUAUGAUUACCAAUCUGAAUGUGUCUAAUAUGAAUCUAAACCAUCUUGCGAAUUAGUGAUAAGUGACUAAUUUACACUAUAUUUGAAUGAUAUUUUAUAUCAUUUUUAGUCACUUUGGCAAUAUUGGAGGAAGAAAAUAGAUCAUUUUGGCUAUAAUUGGUGAAAAAUGUUUUUAAGUGAUUAAAUGAGAUUUUUAUCACUUUUUACUUGGAUUUUGUGAAUUUUGAUAGUUUUGACACAUCUUUGUAUUUCGGUUAUAACUUGAGCUAUAAUGAUCGGAUUAAGAUGAUUCUUGAGCUAAUUUGAAGAUAAGAGAUAGACCUACAACUUUGGUGAAGACAUCGAAAUCCAAUUUGAAGGUUUUCUAGGUCAAAAAGCCGAAUUACAGUAGCUAAUUUUCUAUGGUCGAAGCAGAAACAAAACAGUGAGCAGUCAAGGGUAUUUCUAUCAUUUCUCAGCCUACACAAAUCCAAAUGAGGUGAUUCUUGAUACAUUGGAAAGCUAACUCAAAGAGGUACAAGUUUUAUGUUUUUGCUCAAGGGUUAAAUCAGCUUAUAUCAUCAAGAAAAGUUCAGUUGAAGUUGAGGCAAAAUCGGAGCAGAGCUGAAGAUUGAACAGAAAUUGCACAAAAGGUCAUUAUAUCAAUCUGGCUGGAAUUAUGGCCGGAUUUCAGUCAGAAAAGGCUGCUCUACACGUGGACAACUUGAUUUCACCUCCAAUAAGUCACAUGUAAUGCUAAACAUGUGACAAACAUUACCAGCCAUAAGGGAAAAUAUAUAGGCCUCAUUUCUUAACCACUUUCAUCUUUAUAUAGCCAAAACUUGCAAGAUUGAAGGAGAGACAUACGGGAGAAAACUUGGGAGUGCAGAAAUGUAACUCUUCCAUUUUCUGUGUGUUAGAUUAGUUUAGUAUAGAGUAGUAUAGCUCAUCCACUCUUGCAUAUUAACUAGGUUAGGAUGAAGAUUGGGAUGAAAAAGGAGGAGUUGAAACUCAUGUGACAAGGGUUAUCGAUCUCUUCUCUAACUCUUUAUCUUUUGUACUUGAUUCUAAGUUUAGUUAAUAUACAAGUUAUGGAUUUCAUGUUUAUUAUGUGCUUCUAAAGUUUAUGCCUUAGGUUUGGUUAAACUUUCUAUGAUUUGGUUAUUUGAUGCUAUUAUUUGAGCAAAUUAUUUAGGACUUUAGCUCUUUAAAUCAUGAUUAAUCUGGUACCAUUGAUUGUGAUUAUCUAAGGUGUUGUUUCUGCAAUGAAAAUUGAUAUUUAACACAGGUUCAAGAAGUGCUAAACAUAGGGAAUACACUCACGAGAGUAGAGGUGCACCUAUGUGGUUUUAGUGAUUCAUUUCAUGUAAUUUCAUUGAAGAAAUGAACUUGUAGCUAAUUUCAUAACCAUGAGAAUAGGUAUGGAUUAGUUAUAAAUAUAGUUGAUUCACUACGAAAGUAGGUUUCAUAUGCAUAAGGAAAUUACAUCAUAACUAGCCUAGAUAGUAGUACUCAAUGAUCUAAAUAUAGCACUUGCAUGAGUAGUUAGGGAUACCAUAACCUAAGGAGCUUUCAAUUGUUAUUUUGCAUAAGUUUAGUAGAUUCCAUUUCUUAUAUUUCAUUAAUAGUCUAAAUAAUAGAGAAGUUUUAGUAACACCGGUAAUUGUUCAAUCUUCCUCGAGGGAUCGACCCGAUAUAUACGCUAAACUACUAGUUAACCUAUAUACUUGCAGUGAAACGGGUGUAUUUUGGAUUUUUUAACUUAUACGCAUAUUAAAAACCCGUCAACAAAAAGGUUAGCUACUGCAUCUUUACCUUAGGAAUUAGAAAGUAAACCAUUAGCUAAUGAUUCUAAUGCAUCUUGGGAGCUAGCUAUAGAAAAAUUUUCUAAUCAAUUUGAUUUAGUUAUAAAAAAGCUAGCUAAUGCAAUCUCCAAUCGUUUUGCUAAGAUUGAUGAAAGGUUAGAUGAAUUAGUUUCUCACUUUGGUAGAAUACAAGACCAAUUGCAUGAGUUGUGCAAAGUUAUUUCUUCUAAUUAUAUGCACUAUGACCCUAGCAUGAACGGUGAGCAUGUUGCAAGUGAAAGUGCAUUCCAUUUUGAUGAAAAUGAUGAAUUCAAUUUGAGUUUCAAUGAGGAAAUAUCCAUUUCACAAGAUAAUAUCUUUGGAACUAUGUUAAACCUCAAGAAAUAAGUAUUAAUGCCUCAUUUUUCACCCCUCUUGAGAAAUUUGUUGGAAGUAUAGGUUUUGAAGGUAUUAUUGUCCAAGAAGAUCACGCGGACAUUCCUUUGGUAAGAAAUCAAGUGACACACAUUCAAGGUAAAAUCUAUGAAUCACUUGAUACGAAAUAUGGGCUGCUUAUGGGCCAUGUUUUGGGCUGCAAGAGAUUGAAUCUUUUAGUAAUAGUUAGUAGUUUAUUUUCUAGAUUUCUAUUUUAUUUGCUAGGAAUAAAUUCGGUCCAAGACAUCAUGUUGAGUUGGAUCCGAUUUGUAGAGUCUAGGCUCACUAUAACUUAAGUUGGUUAAUUAGCUUUUAUUGGGUUAUGUUGGGCCAGCUUAAAGCCUUCAUUGGAUCAAUUAUAAGCUGACCAUUAGAUAGUGGGUUUGAGUAGUGGAAUCGGGCCAAAGGCCUAGCCUAGCCGAGUUAGGGUUUUGUCUUGUAAGGCUAUACAUAGCCUAGGUUUUCAUUCAUUAGGGGACAGUUUCAGAUUUUAUCAAAUAUACGUGAGUUUAUUCACUCUCUCUUGUCUCAAGAGAAUUUCCUUUAAAUACUUGAGAAUUAAUCUCAAGUUGUUCAUCGAACUUAUCAAUCAAGUAGUCUCCUUGAUUGUGGCGUUCUUCUAUCUAUACUUUUGGUUCACUAAAUUUGCUAGUCGUGGGUUAAGGAAUCUCCUUAGUUCGUGGCUUGUGAUUCUAGAAGGGUCAAAGUUCCGCCAAUCAUCCCAACUUGGUGUUCGUCUAGAUCCGUCUCACAUCAUCACUUAAGAUAGGUAAGUUUCCUCCAUCUCUCUUAUAAUUUGAUUAUGUGGUUUUUAUUCUUAAGCCACCUUUUAAUGAUUCACCAUGUCCAAAAAUAGUGGAUUAUUCUUUAACAAUCCUUCUUGAAAAGUGAGGUGAAAUAGUUAAGCUAAUGACUAUAAAGAAGCGUUUGUUGGAGGCAAUCCAAUAAUUUCUAGUUUUUUAGUAGGCUUUAGUUAUUUGAUUAGUCUUUUUUUUGUGUGUUUUGUAGGUAGCAAUGACAAGAAGUCAUGUGAAUUAUUUCAAGUGCAAAAGAGCUUAUAAGGAGUGGAGACCGACGUAAAAAUGGGAAGCUUAAUCUUUAUUUUUGAGUUUACAAUGCUUAAUUUCAUGAUACGAGAUUAAGUCAGUCAUUUACAUGAAAUUGAAGUGCAUUUAAGUGAUUAAGUAUGUUCUGAUCUAUUUGCACUCUUUUGAACCAUUUGAGCACCAUUAUGUGCAUUGAAAAUGUCAGAGGGACUUUUUGAUCCUAGAAGCUCAACCAUCAAUUUGCAUUCUACAUGUUUUUUAUUUGUUUUGAGGAGUUAAGAUUCAUGUUUAAGUCACUUUCCAUGUGCAUGAAAUGUUGAAUUGUUGAACAUUUCGUUGUAGAGCACAAAUUGGAGAGUGUGUUUCAAAUUGAAAAUUGCAGAAAAUUCUGCAAUAAGUGCAGAUUCAAUGGAUCCGAGACCUCGGAUCUACUUCUGCAAUCAAAGAAUGAAUUCAAUUUUUUUUUAUCCGAGUUCAAUUAUCACGAUCUGACCUUGGAUCCUUUUAGAAAUAAUUCAAAAACGAAGGUUUGGUUCACUUUUUCUCAUUCUUUCCUCUCUUCCUCCUUCAACGUCCCCACACCCAAAAUACAUACUACUCACUAAAUCACUCUUUUCACUAUCUUAUCUUCAAACAAACUUCACCACAUUACUCCUUACACUAUCUAGAGUGGUUUUCAUGGUUUAAUUCUUUAAAAAACAUCUCCAAAUUUGAAUUAAAGAUUCAAGUAAGCUAGGGUUUCAUCUUCUCAUCUCUUUCAAUUGAGGCAAAAUUGGAGUGAGUUUCUUGGGGGAGUUUCACAUCAUUUUCAUCUCUAAACAUCACCAAACCACUUUAAGGUAGCAAAUCUUCACCUAACAUUGUCAUAUGAAUUUUGCCAUGGUUGAAUAUUUUCUAUUUUUAGGGAAUUUUUAAUAUGUGAAGCUUGGUGUAUUUAUUUGAGCUUAUUGAUGCUAUUGGUGAUUGUUAGUGAUAAAUAAAUCUUGAGGGUGUGUUUAUUGUAUUCAUUUGGUGAAUUUUAUCUAAUUUUAUGCUUAAUUUGGCUUGGUGACAAAGUUGCAUAUUAAAUGGCCAAGAUAGCAUUUUAAUUAGCUUGUGGGAGUUUAUAAUAUUCAUGCGAGUAAUUUAGAUUACCUCAUGAAUGAAAAGGUGUUUGGUUGAAUGAUUUCUUGAAUUCUUAGGUAAUUCUAAAAGAAGAGGUGAAUUGAAGAUGAUUUAAUUGACGAAAUUCAUAAAUGCACUUAUAUUCUUUGUGGUUCAAUGGUUUUUAGUAUUUCAUGAGUUCUCAAGAAGGUCAUUUAUAUUUUGUGACAGCCUCACCUCACCCUAAGGCGAAUCAAAGGGUUCAGAGGACCGCCUGCCCAACUCUCGCCAGGACUACGGAGUCAAUUCACACAAACCCAAUAUAGUACGCGCGAAAGGAUCUAAGAAAACGAACAAUUGCAGGCCACCAACAGUUACCACAGAGCUUACCAAACCAUACGGAAGUACGGAACAUCGGUUAAACACUUAUACAUUUUUUUACACCGGAGUCUUGAACAAGUGAACCAAAAUACAAGCCAAAGUAUUCAUGCUACACGAAAUACAAUUAGGGUUUCGGUUACAAAGGAGCUUAACAAAAUAACAUAUACAUUAGCUCGACCCAUUUUCUUCCAAAAUCGUGGUUUCAAAGUUUGUCCCCUAUAAGGAAAACAAAGAUAAGGGGAAGGGGGUGAGUUUACGCUCAAUGAGGUACCAAAAUAAUAACAAAUAAGAAACGUGGAACUUCAUAUUCAAUUAGUCACAUAUGCGAAUCAAAUAAAGAAAUGAACAAACACCAUAGAUAGAAAGGAUACGGGUGGCUCUCCGGAGCCAAAUUCCUAUUUGCUUCACCGAAACUUGAUCGAAAUAAUAGUUGACACUCCGUCAACGCUAAAGGAGUAACCAAUACCGUAGACUCCACUUUCUCCAAUUCCUUCCACCUCACAUACCCCGACCGGGCCCGAACUCCAAUCAGUUCAGAAAUAGUAAUACUCGAGUAUACCGGAAUCAAGGGUCUCAAUACCCAAAGAUCCUAAAACAGACUACCGUGGUUCGUUAUCUAAUCGACCAGGCCCUUGCCGGCCCGACUCGAGUAACUAGGCCACAGGUGUUGAGCUCAGAGGUCACAGAAAGGUCAAUGGAUACAAGUUUCCAAACGACGUCCGAACAGAUACAGAUAACAGAUUCAGAUUCGCACCAAAAUUGGCAUAUGAAUAGACAGAGAACGAGUGUGAUAAAGUACACCCUCGUCUCAAACAAAAUAAACAGAUAGUUCAGUCGUUCAUAUCACAGAUUGCAUGUACAGAAACCGAGUUAAACAACAAGUGAGGGGAGUGGUACACUCGCCGGUUUAAAUACGGAUACUUCAAAAGUUUUCACUUCAGACUGGCUUUAAUUGCCAAGAAACCCUAAAAUCAUCAAAGUAAAACAAUUGAAGGUUUCACAUCCAAAAUCGAGUAAACGGAAUGUACAAGUGAGGCUCGACUACAUGUCGUACGUCUUUCCAGGUUAAGUACUAGUACAAAAGAAUAAACUAUGACUUUUGAGCAAAAAGAUAACAGUUGGUUCUAGGGUUACAAACAACUCCCAAAACGCAUCAUUUUUACCAAGAUCAACUCAACUUGAAAGAAUCACGUGGCCCUAAAAUUUUGGGCAGCAUACCCUCUGUAUUUACCUAUUUUCCAGCCAUUUAUGGCUUCAUUGUUCUCCUCAAUCAAUCCCAAAGUCACACAUAAAAAUAACCUCAUUGUAAUAGCCGUUCAAUAGCCUUCAAGUGGUACAAGUACAAAUUCAAGCUAGGACAAUGGUCCGGAAAUGAAGUUUAUGCCCUAAACCAAAAGACAGUUUUGACGUCAUUUAGCGGAAUGGACACAACUGGAGCUACACUUAUCGGAUUGGGGUUUAAUUUACACCAUUUUGAAGCUAAGACAGAGAGCUAUAACUUUGAUGAAGACUACUAAGUCCAGUUCUCACCCUAACUAGAUCAAAUUUACCAAAACAACUCCAGAUUUUCCAGUUCGAAACUCACCGCGGAAAUCAACUAGCAGUCCUGUUUUAGUCACUCAUAUCUCAGUACACACAACUCCAAUUCAGGUAAUUCCAAAGCCAUUUGAAAGCUAAGAUACAAGGCUAUAAUUCUUAAGAAGACAUCGACAACCAAAUCAGUAGUAUUCCUGGUCAAAACAACCAAUUACAGAAGCUGAUUAACAUGUUCGGAUAGAAACAGGCAGCAGGGGUAAUUUGGUCUUUUCAUAGGUUACGUUGCUCCGAUCGAGCUGAUAUUUUGUAGGCUACUAUAAAAUAUCAUUCUCUACAACUUUCAUGUUUUGUACUAAAGCUAUAUCGGCUUCUAACUAGCUGUAACAGUACCGGGCAGAAUUGGGGAAAAAUGAAACCCUAAUCUGGAAAUUUUGGUACAAAGCGGAAAUUUCCGCAAAUAACUACAAUUUACAUACAAUAGCUUCAUUCUAAACUAUACCAAGUCAUCAUCCAUGGCCACACAAUGUUAAACAUAUGAAAACAGAAAAAUUCAAGAAUAAAUAUAAAAGUCACCAAUCUCAACUAAAAUCAAGAAAUCUUUCACCAAAUCACAUCUUUAGCCACCACAAGUCAUUAAUUUGACAUUAUCAAUACCAAGGAAAGAAUUCCCUAACUACUUACCUUGCAACCUCAAGAAAGGAAGCUACUUAGCACCAAUUUCUUCCUAAUCACUUCACCAAGAACCUUAAUCCUACCUAGAGAAGAGUUUUUAUGGAGUGAUUUGAAGUUUUAUCGGUUAGAUUGGAAGAUUGGAGCAAGUUAUGGAAGGAAGAUAUUGAAGGGUUUUCUCUCUUUUCUGUCCAAGAAAUUCGGCCAAGAGAAGGAUGAAAGUGAUGAAUUUUUGGUCAAUUUUGGUUAAUUGGUAAAGGUAAAUAAGAUGGUCAAAGUCAAGAAUAAACCACAAGGUGACACUUGUCACCCUUAUUUAAUGCAGCUCUAUCCUUUUGUCUCUCCAAUGAUAAUCCAUCUAGGUAACUUCUAAUUAUCUCUUCACACCUGAUAAAUUAAACUCGGUAUACACAACUUAACCUAAUUGGCCGAAUUUUAUCAAACUUACCGCACUAGCGGGUCCCACACCCAGUAUCCACUUCUAAAAUCUCAUAAGCUAACUUAUACUCGGAAAAAUGAUUUUAAAACCAUCUUUACUCAUAAAAAUUAUUUUCACAAAUUUUCAAAUAAAUAAAAUAUGGAAAAGCGUGCAAUUAAAAGAAAAUAAAACCUAGCAAUUAAGAAAAUUACGGGUUCUCACAUAUUUUGACUUGGUGUGUUUGCCUCUAUUUUGAGAUUACUUUUGUACUUUAGGGAACUUGAUUAUCGAUGACAAAAUGUAUAAAUGGAACUUACUUUGUUCAUGAUGAUGGGCUUAUUUUGUGAAAUUAGCUUCCCUUUACUUUGGAUACUAAUGCACAUACUAGAUUCGCAAAGAUUAGCUCAUUUCAUGUUUUUAUCCCCUAAACAUUAUAUGGUUUCACAUGCUUUAUCACUUUCCCCUUUUCCCUUGAUUCGCAUGCUUACUUCUUGAUCGUUGCAAGUUUUUACUUAGUUGUUUUAUUUGAUUUUACCAUUUGAAGUGGUGCAUUAAUUGAAUUCUCCUUUCUUUGCAAAUAAGGUUGGAAAUUCAUUGCUUGGCUAUGGAUUUGGAUAGCGCAAAUUUGAUAGGGGAGUACUACUUUCUUUUACUUUCGUUAUUUUUCCUUUCUCGCAUUAAGGGCAAUGUGAAAUUUAAGUGUGGAGGAGGGAAAUAAUUGGCUUGCUAUUUUAUGCCAUGCAAUGAUAUUUUGUGGAUUUAAAUGCAUUAGAAAUGUUGGAAUUGUACUUGAAAAUAUUGCCAUGUUGAACUUGAAAAAUUGGUUUGUUGGUAGUGAGUUUCAUCCAGUUAUAAGGGAAAAUUCUGUUAAAAUUCUGUUAAAAUUUUUCUAAAAUCUUUUUCAAUAUUUCACUAUGUCCCAAAAAUUUUUGCAAUUUUUGUCUUUGUUUUAAAAAAGGGCCAAUUUGUUCCAACUUGAGCAUUGUGGUUCUUCUACUUGUUGAAACUUUAUAUGUAUUUUGGAAGAUUUAGUCCUCAUUUGAUUUGGAAAUAGUUAUUAUGCAAUUGAAAUUUUUGCAUUUUAGGAAGUAUAUCCUAUAAGAUAGGGAGAAUUAUACCUAUAAUUUUACAUGGUUGAUGAGAUUUCUCCUCUUUAUUUAAUUUGACAAGUAAGUGAUUGAUAUAGUCAACAAAAGUUAUAAUCUUCCUUUGGUUAUUCUUGUGUAUUUGCUAAGAGAGAAUGUCUAUUUAUUGUCUUUUUUUUCAAAAAAAAGAGAAGAAAAGAGUUUUUGUUCUAUUCCAAUGAUUCUUGUACCGAGUAACGCGAAGGUUGGCAUCUACAAAUGUCAACACUCGCAUAAAAAGAUACUUGAAUUAAGAGUAUGCAUAGCAAUCUAAAUAAGUGAAAUAUUGAGUAACCAGGGAUCUUCACCGAAAAGUGUUGAUUUUCGUGUCAAAAGACAUUUCCACUAUUUGAGUAAAAAUUAGUAUGAAUAAAUCCCUCUUAGUUGUAAAAUUUGUGAAAAAGAUGAUCUUGGGAGAAAUAUAGCUAUAAAUUGAUUAUGUGAUUUGGCUAUUUGUGAAAUUAGGUUAGGGUGAAAGAUUAAGUUUAACUUAUUAAAAUUUGGGUAUAAUUAUCUUUCCUAUACUUGAUUUAUGAGUAUUUAGUGUAAAUUAAAAAAUUGCAUAAUGAUUGUUUGCCAAGUUAUAAGGCAUUGAAUUAAGUGCAUAUAGCGUUUCUCCUCUUGAAUCAUUGUUGUUGAUUAUGUGUUAAUUGCUUGAGAACAAGCAAUGGUUUAAGUGUGGGAGAGUUUGAUAAGUGCAUAGUUUACAUGUUUUAAGUAUGUUUUGUUAGUUAGUUUUGGUGUGUUUUAUUUAGUUUUAUAAUUAAAUAGUUAGGAUUCUAGUGAAAAUAUGCAUUUUGUGAUUUAAGUGAUAAAAAUUGCAUUUCUGUGGAUUAUUAUAGUGAAAGCAGCAUGUUUUUAUAGGUUUAAGCAUUCAAUCAUCAAUUGGAGUGAUUUGAGAAGAUAAUUAGAUGAUUGAUGAUGAUUUGAAGUGAUAAAAGAGAGAAUAUGAAGUGCAAAAGAAGAAAUGCAAUCAAGAAUAUAAGGAAUCAAGUUUUUAAAAGAAAUCAAGUUUUACAGCUUUGACAUCUUGUAGUAUUUUAGCUAUAUCUUAAACUAUAAGUAUUGGAUUGAGGUGAUUCUUAAAUCAUUUUGAAACUAAGAGACAGAUCUACAUUUGGUAUGACAUUAAAGUCCAGUUCAGUCGUUUUCAUUAUCAAAAAUGCAUUUUCAUUGUCAAAAGCUAAAAUAGAGCCCUGACCAAUCAAGGGUUAUUUUGGUAAUUUCUCAGUCCACAGCGGUCCAAAUUGGAUGAUUCUUGACGCAUUGGAAAUCUAACUCAAAGAACUACAACUUUCAUGUUUUAACAAGAGUUAGUUCAGCCUCUAUCAUUAAGAAAAUAUCAGUUAAAGUUGGACAAAAAAUAAAGCAAGGAAAUCCGAGUUCGGAUUUGCACUAAACCUGACCUCGGAUAAAUUUCUGUAAUGAGAGGCUACAUCCAAGAGAAAGGUCCGACCUCGGAUCCCCACGUUACAGGUCUCGGAUCCUAAUGUGCAGUGAAGAUAAAAAUGAAGAAAAAUGAGAUCUAAGAGGUAUUUUGAGCGAUCUGACCUCAAAUCUUGCCUCGGAUCCCCAAUUGCUGCUCUGCAGCUUGUGCUCCGUUCACACAAGCUUUCUAACCAAUUUAUCUGCAAGAAAUCUAGCUAGAACUGAGGAAGCAAGUAUAUAGAAUUCAAGAAGCAUCUUUUGGUGAUUCGAAGGAGCAAUUUACAUCAACUUUAACAACUCACCUUGAUCUUGAAUUUCUCUAUAAAUAGCAACAUUGGAGGACAUUUUCGCAACUUUUGGAAGGAUACAGGAAAUCACUAAAAAUGUAGUCUUCACUAGUUUUUCUUAGUUCAUUAGUUAGAGUAGAUUAGUAUAGUUAGUGUAGUUUAUCCUUCUUGUAUUUGUAGUUAGAUUUGGACAAAGAUUGAGGAGCAAAGAUGGAGAGAUUGAUCUCAUGUGACAAGGGUGAUAUCUCUUCUACUACUUUCUCUCUUGUAUUGGAUUUCAUGUUUAGUUAUAAUACAAGUUUGGCUUUGUGUUUCUAUUAUGUUUACUAAUUAUAAUUGUUGUAACUUUCUUAAGUAAAAUGGUAAGUUUGAACAAUUCACCUAUUUACCAUUUUAUUUGUAAAGCUGAUAAUUUUUUAAUAAAAACUUACCAUUAUUUGAGUUAAACUUACUAAUUAUAAAGUAGUAAGUUUCGUUGGAGAAGUAGUAACGUUCAGUAUUUAAAGAGUAAAUCUCAUAUCACACUUAUAACUUACCAAUUUUAUUACCAAAGUUACCAUAUUACCACAUGAUGUUACUUUGAAUAUUGGAAACCUGAAUCAAUAGUUGUGCAAUUGUCGCUAAAUAUACCAAUCUUGGAUGUAGGAACCACUAUUAACUGGUUGUACUAGUAUUUUAAUUUAAAAUAUUCACAAGUUAUGAUGACGAUCAGCACUAUAGCAUAUCCUGAAAUAAUACUGUGUCCAGGGUGCUGAUGGCGCGGGGCAAAGCCCCCAUGCUGGUUGGGAAGGGAGGGCAGUGGAGGAAGGGUUAAAAAAAAUAAAAAAUGUAUAACCAUACAAAUGACUUUUAUCUUUUUAAAAUUAGUAAAUAAUCAUAGAUCCACUGCAGUUGAAAAACUUGGUAAGGCUUGCAUAGUAAAACAAUUAAAAUUAAUAAUCUUAAAACACAAGUAAAACAAUUACAACAAGAGAUUAUAGAAUUAAAAUUAAUAAUCUUGGAAAUAGAAUCAAAAUUAACACUAAUAGACAAAAUCAACCUUCAACCUCUAGUAUUAAAACAAAUGAAAUAGCGAUAGCAGAAAAUCCAGUAAAAGAAGAUCAAUAUGUAAAUACCAUAGAAAAAUGACUUUUCAAAAAUGGUUUGCCUUAAUAACAAUCACAGUAGAAGAUUUCAAAGAAACAUUUGUAGCUCUAAUAGACAGUGGAGCUGAUACAAGUUGUAUUAAAGAAGGAAUAAUCCCCACUAAAUAUUGUGAAAGAACAAAAGAAAAACUAAUGGCCGCAAAUGGAGAAGAUUUAGAAGUAAAAUAUAAAUUUACAAAAGGAUCAAUAUGUAAUAAUGAAUAUUGUAUUAGACAUAAUUUCAUAAUCGUAAAAAAUAUAAAUCAUGAUGUAAUUUUAGGAACACCUUUUCUAAUUCAAAUAUAUCCAUUUCUAGUAAGUAAUGAAGGAAUUUCAGUAAACAUAAUGGGAAAAAUUAUUACUUUUAAAUUCUUAACCCCCAUAAGACAAAAGGAAUUACAAACAUUACAAACAUCCUCAAUAUAUAAAACAAUAAAUACUAUUACAAGAAUACAACAGCAAAUAAACUAUAUUAAAGAAGAAAAAUCUUAUUUAAAAAUUGAAGAACAAUUAAACGACAUUAAAAUACAAAAAGAAUAUCAGAAUUAGAAGAAUUAUUUAAAAAAGAAAUUUGUGCAGAUAUUCCUAAUGCUUUUUGGAAUAGAAAACAACAUAUGAUAGAAUUAACAUAUGAAAAAGAUUUUAAUGAGAAAAAUAUUCCAACAAAAGCUAGACCAAUACAAAUGAAUUCGGAGCUACUAGAAUUUUGUAAAAAGGAAAUAAAAAUAUUAAUAGAUAAAGGAUUAAUAACACCUUCAAAAUCACCCUGGAGUUGUGCUGCAUUCUAUGUGAUGAAUCAAGCAGAAAAAGAAAAAGGAGUUCCAAGAUUAGUAAUAAAUUAUAAACCUUUAAAUAAAGUAUUGUAAUGGAUUAGAUAUCCUAUUCCUAAUAAAAAAGAUUUACUCAAUAGAUUAUUUAAUGCUAAGAUAUUUUCAAAGUUUGAUAUGAAAUCUGGAUAUUGGCAAAUAAUAAUAAAUCCAAAAGAUAGAUAUAAAACAGCAUUUACAACACCCUUUGGACAUUAUGAAUGGAAAGUCAUGCCAUUUGGAUUAAAAAAUGCACCAUCAGAAUUUCAAAAUAUAAUGAAUGACAUCUUUAAUCCUUACAGUUCAUUCAGUAUAGUCUAUAUAGAUGAUGUAUUAAUAUUUUCAGAAUCCAUAGAACAACAUUUUAAACAUUUAAGUAUAUUUUUAAAAGUAGUUAAGAAAAUGGAUUAGUUGUUUCUGCUCCAAAAAUGAAAUUAUUUCAAACAAAAAUAAGAUUUUUAGGACAUAAUAUACAUCAAGGAACAAUAAAACCAAUUAAUAGAGCUUUAGAAUUUGCUACUAAAUUUCCAAAUGAGAUAAAAGAUAAAAAUCAAUUGCAAAGAUUUUUAGGAUGCUUAAAUUAUAUAGCAGACUUCUUUCCUAAAUUAAGACAAGAAUGCUCUAUAUUAUUUAAUAGAUUAAAGAAAAAUCCAAAACCUUGGACAGAUGAACAUACACAAAAAAUAAAAUAAUUAAAGGAAAAAAUAGAGUCAUUACCCUGUUUAUGUUUACCUCAUCCUAAAGCAUUCAUGAUAGUUGAAACUGAUGCAUCAGAAUUAGGAUAUGGUGGAAUAUUAAAACAAAGAAUAGACAAUUCAAAAGAAGAACUAGUCAGAUUUCAUUCUGGAACAUGGUCUGACCCUCAAAAGAAUUAUUCAACUAUUAAAAAAGAAAUUUUAUCCAUAGUUUUGUGCAUAUCAAAAUUUCAAGAUGAUUUAUAUAAUAAGAAAUUUCUAAUCAGAAUAGAUUGUAAAUCAGCAAAAGAGAUUUUACAAAGGAUGUUCAAAAUAUAGUUUCAAAACAAAUAUUUGCUAGAUGGCAAGCAAUUCUUUCAGUAUUUGAUUUCGAAAUAGAAUUUUUAAAGGAGAAAAUAAUUCUCUUCCUGACUUCUUGACUAGAGAAUUCUUACAGGGAAAUGGAACGUGAAACUCACAAAAAAUACAUUCGAAGACUACGAGCUGAAAGAGAUAACCCUAUUCUUCAAAAAGAGAUGCAAAUAUUUCUCAUAGACCAUUUACCUAUUAUAUUAUAAACCCUGACAAAACCAUUCAACCAAUUCCUUAUUCUCAAAUUCGAAACCAUGAUACAGUUCAUAUUAGACACAGCUUUUGGGCUGCAACCAUCCAAAAAGAACAAGCCUUUCUUUUAAAAAGGCAGAUCAAUUCGAAUAUCAUAUUCAAAAAUGUUCUAGAAAAAGCAAAUCAUCCUCCAGAAGAUAUUCAACAAAUUACAAAUCGAAUUCAACAGCUUAAAGAACAGCUUAACAGAAUUAUUUGUUAAUUUUGCAGGAUCAUGGAUUCAAAAGCAGGAAGUUCUAGACCAAAAACUCCUCAAGAUUAUGAGAUGAGUCUUACCCCAGUAUCUCCAAAUAGAUUUCAAAUAUUACAAGAUUUUCCAGCUUUGACUUACAGUCAAGCUACUAGUACUCCAACCUUUCCUCCAAUAAACCCCAUUAUAUUCUACACUUAAUCAGACUGUUCAAAGAAUUUUCCCUCCAAAAUGUUAUUGGCAGCCAGAUGAUCCUUCAAAAAAUUUGGAUUAUUAUGAAUUGAUUCUUACAGAUACUCAAUCUGUAGAAAUAUAUCCAAUACCAGAUAAAAAGAACCCAAAUAUUGUAAGUCAUUCCAAAUGCAUAAUAAAGAAAGUUUGUUCACCUAAUGAAUGGACUUCUCUUUAUUCAAAGAAAUCGUUCUCAGUCAAUUUUAUUCCAGAUGGAUUUACUUAUCAGGAUUACAAAAUGGCAUGGUACCGUGCUUUUUUGUAUCGACCAUUCAAUCAUUCAUGGUUCUUUACAUUUAAAGAAUGUUGCAGCAAAGAAUUUCCAAUUUGGUUCAACCAUUGGUGGAAAUGGUUUGGCCCUCAAGCAGACAUCCUACCUCCAAAUGUUCUGAUGGGAUUCCAAACCUAUCUCAAAAAAGCAAGGGGGGAGGAAUAUACAAGGCCAAUAUUAUUUCAUAUGGAGUUCAAAGUACCAUGGAUUUUUUGCUGGAGUUUCAAAAUUCAUCAAGAAUUAGAAAAGCCACUCCCAAUGUCUCUAGUCAGAGAAUUCAAAAUAAAAUGGUGGACAGGAUUCAAUCAAGAAUUCGGAGAUCAAAUUAAUGUCAUCAGAUUCCUUACCACUGGAGAUAAACUCAAAUGGACUAAAUCAACGUCUACUCCAACCAAUCCAACAAUUUCCAUACCUACUACCACCAAGUCAUCAUCAAAUCCUAUCACGGCACCAACUCCAACCACUACUCCAAUAAAGCAAGACAAAGCAAAAGAAAAAGAGACGGAAAAGGUAUCCGAGGCAAUUUCAAGUGACUUUUUGAUAAAGAAAAUGAUGCAAGAUCCAAAACUACUCAAAGAAUAUUUGGACUAUCUACAAAAGCCAGAGAAAAAAGAAGAAAUCGACAAAAUUACAGAGUCAGCAGAAUCAUCCGAAUCUACUUUUGAUCCAUUCGGAGGACCAUGCGGACAAGACCCAACGACUUUUAGAAAAAGAUGUCGGCCAUUCAACAGAAAAAGAAGAUGAAAUUCAAAUGAAGAUGAAAUGAAGUUCAAAUGUAACUUCCCGAGCUUCUAUAAAUAGAAUCAAAAUGUUAGAUAGAAGGCAUCGGUGAAUUAGCUAUUCAGAAGUAAGAAAGCCUUUGUAAACACUCUCAAACACCAUUCUCAUUUUCAACCCACUUUUCAACAAAUCCCAACCACUCUUGUUUCAAAAGUCUUAUAUAAAGUCAAGAUUCAAGAAAUUGUGCAAGCUUCUGUAGAACCUAUUGCAACUCUCAAAUUAAUUGUAAGUCCAACUCUUUACAUUAAUUACAGUUCUAUACAUUCAUGUUAUCUUUAUGUUACCUGGGUAGAAGUGGUAUCAGAGUCACACCCCUGUUUAAAGUGCAUACGCAUAUUUAAACUUUGCAAUUAUAUUUGCUUUAUUUGAAUUACGUUUCUAUUUUAACUUGGCUAUUUCAUGCAUUUAUGUUACAUAUUUUAUUAAACUUUUACUGAAAACGUUGGUAAGACCUGAUGCCUUGUUAGACCGUUGGUAAGUUCAGGAUAGGAUGUUCCAGGCAUAGUGCUCGGUUGUUCCCGUCUAAGUAAAAUUUAAUUAAAUAUUAAGCAUGGCUGCAUUUCUUAGACAAUUUAAAUUAGGAUCUAAUUCAAAGCAAGCUAAUAUAGUACAAAGUCAUGAAUAUCAUAUGCCUAUAAAUAAUUCAGAUUGGACUAUUCCAGAAGAAAAGAUAGAACAUAUAUAUAGAAUAGGCUCGUUAGAUUUCAAAACAGCAUUAUCAGUUAAAACACAUGAAGAAACCAUAUCUAUUCAAGAAGAAUAUCAAACAAUUCCAUUAUUAAAUCAUAGUACAAUUCAAAAAUAUUUAAGUAAAGGAUAUCGAUACAUUCAUAUAGGUUUAAUACAAAUUGCUGUAAAACCUUUAUUCCAUUUAGGAGUAGAUGCUCCUAUAUAUCUAGCAUUAAGAGAUACUAGAUUAAAAAGAUAUAAAACUUCUUUACUAUCUAUGAUUCAAACAAAUGUUUCUAAUGGACCUAUAUAUUUUAACUGUGCUCCAAAUUUUUUAAUAGACCUAACAGACCCACAUAUUCUAAAUUCAGUUAUAUUAGAUGUUCAUUUACAAGGAAAUGAAUUUGAAAAACAUACAAAGAAUUUUGCAAUAAUAUACAGAAUGUAUUACAGACCUCUAUCAUCUCAUUUAAAUCCCAAAUUUAUAAUGACUCAAACUCUUAAAGAAGAAACAACUUUAUUACAAGUAGAUGCUGACCGACCUACAACUUAUACACCAAAAAGAUUAAAAUGGAAUGAAAUAACCAUACCAAGUGAAUUUGAAAUUAGAAAUCCACAAAUAGCAAGAAAUGUAGAACAAACUACAGCCGAAGAUAUUAUAGAGAAACCUGAUGGAAAUACUUUAAUAAGAUUUGCUUCAUUAAGAGAAAGACCUAGUUCAAGUUAUUCAUGGAUACCAGCUAGACAUUCUAAUUAUGAAUCCACUGAAAUAAAUUUUCCUUUAGAAAAUACUUUAACUUUUAAGUAUAAAACACCUGUUCCAGAAGUUAUAAAUCAAAAUCAAUCAGAAUAUUCACCUACUCAUUCACAAAUGAAAGGAGAAAUAAAUGUUAUAAAUAAACCAUAUAAAAUAAAUCAUAAAUAUUUGCAAGAAGAUUUUGAUGAUGAAGAAAAUACUGAAAAAAGAAUUUGAUUUUUUCAACUGGAAUUAUAAAGAAAAAUUAAUAUUAGAGUGGAAAACAGAAUAGAAAAACAAAAGUUUGACUUCCCUUUCUUUACAUGGUUAACAUUUUAUACAUCAAAAUUAGGAAAUAAACAAUGUUUAUGACACACCACAAAUAAAUGUUCAAACUAAUUUAUAUAAAAAUGGAAAUUAAAAGAUAAUCAAGUAUUAACUUCAAUACACCCUCCAUUACAAGAAGUAAAAAUUAAUAUAGGACAAGGAGAGAUAAUUGCCUCACCUUUUAAAAAAGGAAGAGAAGCUGAAUCAAGUACAAAUAAUAAUGUAAAUUUAGAAGAUAUUAAAAAAAUUUAUCAACAAAAUAAUUAUACAAAUCAAAUUCUCAUACAAUAACUCAACAUAUGGAAGUAUUAAAUACUAAGAUAGAUACAAUAAAGAAACCAGAAUUAAGAUUCCCAAAUGAUAUUUCAGCACCUCAUUUUAAACCUAGAAGCCUGACAAGAGAAAAAGAACAAGAAUUAGUACAAAAUAUUAAUAGUCAAAAAAUAAAUACUACAGAUAAUGUAUUAAAUAAAAUAUCUCAAGCUCUACAAAACUUAACCACAGAAUCUAAACCUUCCACUCCAAAAAUAAAUACAUUAGACAGAAUAAUAGAAGAAAAUUCAACUGAAGAAAUAGAAGAUUUAUCUGAAAAAUCAACAGAAUCAGAAGAAGAAGAAGAUAUAAUUCUACCAAUAGAAAAUCAAUUUGAAGAAACAGAAGAAAAUCAGAUAAAUAGAAUAAAAAGAAAAGAUUAUAACAAGAAAAAUAAUUGGAAAAUGGUAAGUUCAAAAAAUUAUUAUCCUAGACCAAGUCCUCCGGAUAUUCAAUAUGAAGAAAGACCAAAAUUUAGAACUACUAAAUAUGAUGGAGAUUCAAUAUAUGAAUGGAAUAUAGAUGGCAAAGCUGAAUAUGAAGUAUUAAAUAAUUUGCAAGAAAUGGGAAUGGCAAGAUUAGCUUAUAAAAUUAAAAACAUUCAAGAAAGAAAUAUUGUUCAACAUUAUUAGUCUCAGGAUUUACUGGACAAUUAAAAAAUUGGUGGGAUAAUGCAUUAACAUUACAAGAUAAAUUAUCAAUAUUAGAUCAUACACAAGAAAUCGAAGAUGAUCAAGGAAAUAUUCAAAUACAGUCAGAUGCUGCAGAAUUUUUAAUUGUAACAAUAGUCAUGUAUUUUAUAGGAAAUCCCAAAGAAGAAUUAAAUUCCAAUAAAACAUCUCUAACAAAUUUAAGAUGUCCAACAUUAUCAGACUUUAGAUGGUAUAAAGAUAUGUUUUUAACAAAUGUAUUAAGAAGACCAGAUUGUAAUGCUUCAUUCUGGAAAGAAAGAUUCAUAACUGAAUUACCAAGUUUAUUUUCACAAAGAAUAAUGGAUAAUUUACAAAAAGAAAUGGGAACAGAUGUCAUUUCAUUCGAGAAUAUUACUUUUGGGCAAUUAUUUGCUUUUGUGAAAAAAGAAGGAUUAAUGUUAUGUUCAGAAUUAAGAUUACAAAUAAAAUAUGGUUCAAAAACAAAAGAAGUAAGAAAGCCUUUGUAAACACUCUCAAACACCAUUCUCAUUUUCAACCCACUUUUCAACAAAUCCCAACCACUCUUGUUUCAAAAGUCUUAUAUAAAGUCAAGAUUCAAGAAAUUGUGCAAGCUUCCGUAGAACCUAUUGCAACUCUCAAAUUAAUUGUAAGUCCAACUCUUUACAUUAAUUACAGUUCUAUACAUGUUAUCUUUGGAUUUUUCUUUAAUCUAUUAAAUAAUAUAGAGCAUUCUUGUCUUAAUUUAGGAAAGAAGUCUGCUAUAUAAUUUAAGCAUCCUAAAAAUCUUUGCAAUUGAUUUUUAUCUUUUAUCUCAUUUGGAAAUUUAGUAGCAAAUUCUAAAGCUCUAUUAAUUGGUUUUAUUGUUCCUUGAUGUAUAUUAUGUCCCUGGGGGUGGUCUGUGUUUGUUUGAUGUAUGAGGAAGAAUUGGUCGUAAAAAUUGAGAGGUUAUUAUGGUUAAAUUUGUUGAGCUAUAUUAAUAUGUACAAUAUAUAUAUUAACACGCUUAUAUUAUAGAUUUUUUGUUUUUGGUAGAUGAAGUGCAAAAGAAGAAAUGCAAUCAAGAAUAUAAGGAAUCAAGUUUAAAAGAAAUCAAGUUUUACAGCUUUGAUAUCUUGUAGUAUUUUAGCUAUAUCUUAAACUACAAGUAUUGGAUUGAGGUGAUUCUUAAAUCAUUUUGAAACUAAGAGACAGAUCUACAUUUGGUAUGACAUUAAAGUCCAGUUCAGUCGUUUUCAUUAUCAAAAAUGCAUUUUCAUUGUCAAAAGCUAAAAUAGAGCCCUGACCAGUCAAGGGUUAUUUUGGUAAUUUCUCAGUCCACAGAGGUCCAAAUUGGAUGAUUCUUGACGCAUUGGAAAUCUAACUCAAAGAACUACAACUUUCAUGUUUUAACAAGAGUUAGUUCAGCCUCUAUCAUUAAGAAAAUAUCAGUUAAAGUUGGACAAAAAAUAAAGCAAGGAAAUCCGAGUUCGGAUUUGCACUAAACCUGACCUCGGAUAAAUUUCUGUAAUGAGAGGCUACAUCCAAGAGAAAGGUCCGACCUCGGAUCCCCACGUUACAGGUCUCGGAUCCUAAUGUGCAGUGAAGAUAAAAAUGAAGAAAAAUGAGAUCUAAGAGGUAUUUUGAGCGAUCUGACCUCAAAUCUUGCCUCGGAUCCCCAAUUGCUGCUCUGCAGCUUGUGCUCCGUUCACACAAGCUUUCUAACCAAUUUAUCUGCAAGAAAUCUAGCUAGAAUUGAGGAAGCAAGUAUAUAGAAUUCAAGAAGCAUCUUUUGGUGAUUCGAAGGAGCAAUUUACAUCAACUUUAACAACUCACCUUGAUCUUGAAUUUCUCUAUAAAUAGCAGCCUUGGAGGACAUUUUCGUAACUUUUGGAAGGAUACAGGAAAUCACUAAAAAUGUAGUCUUCACUAGUUUUUCUUAGUUCAUUAGUUAGAGUAGAUUAGUAUAGUUAGUGUAGUUUAUCCUUCUUGUAUUUGUAGCUAGAUUUGGACAAAGAUUGAGGAACAAAGAUGGAGAGAUUGGUCUCAUGUGACAAGGGUGAUAUCUCUUCUACUACUUUCUCUCUUGUAUUGGAUUUCAUGUUUAGUUAUAAUACAAGUUUGGCUUUGUGUUUCUAUUAUGUUUACUAAUUAUAAUUGUUGUAACUUUCUUAAGUAAAAUGGUAAGUUUGAACAAUUCACCUAUUUACCAUUUUAUUUGUAAAGCUGAUAAUUUUUUAAUAAAAACUUACCAUUAUUUGAGUUAAACUUACUAAUUAUAAAGUAGUAAGUUUCGUUGGAGAAGUAGUAACGUUCAGUAUUUAAAGAGUAAAUCUCAUAUCACACUUAUAACUUACCAAUUUUAUUACCAAAGUUACCAUAUUACCACAUGAUGUUACUUUGAAUAUUGGAAACCUGAAUCAAUAGUUGUGCAAUUGUCGCUAAAUAUACCAAUCUUGGAUGUAGGAACCACUAUUAACUGGUUGUACUAGUAUUUUAAUUUAAAUAAUUCACAAGUUAUGAUGACGAUCAGCACUAUAGCAUAUCCGGAAAUAAUACUGUGUCCAGGGUGCUGAUGGCGCGGGCAAAGCCCCCAUGCUGGUUGGGAAGGGAGGGCAGUGGAGGAAGGGUUAAAAAAAUAAAAAAUGUAUAACCAUACAAAUGACUUUUAUCUUUUUAAAAUUAGUAAAUAAUCAUAGAUCCACUGCAGUUGAAAAACUUGGUAAGGCUUGCACAGUGGGAUAUAAUUAAGAAAAGCACCAAGGUUCCUUGCAGUCUUGCGAAGUGGAUAAACAUCCAAAUCUAAGUGUUUUAAUCCCCAAAACUGAUUACACGCAUAGAAAUGAUACGGUAGACUACUUUUUAAUAGCUCACACACUGAGACGGAUUGUCACGCCCCGAGCCCGCGCGUGCCCGUCACAUGACAUCCGCCGUACUCCCAAGUCCCACUCAGGAAUACAAGGCUACAUUAACUAAUUAAACUUGACAAUACUAAAUAAUUUAAACAGAUAAAGUGCGGUUCGAAUUACAAUAAAAGGAAGUCUACGAAUAUUCAAGGCGUUCGUACAUUUAUUCUCCAAUUGAAACAGUGGAAACAAAAGUAAAUAGGAUAACACUAGAAGUAGCUAGCCUGCCAACUUCUAUGCACCUAAACUAAUAAAAGUCAUCCUCAGGGUCUUCUAUGCAAACCAAUUCAUACUCUUCCGAAUCUGCAAAAAUGAUAAGAAGUGGGUUGAGCGACACAUCGCUCAGUAGGUAAUAUUUACCCCUCUGUUGGACCAUGCACUCUUAAUUUUAUAGGUACACAAAUAUAUAAUUACAACUUAAAUCAUUUGCAUAUCAUUCACAUCCGUAAUUUUGAAAGUAACGUUACUUAUAAAGCAAUCAGUAGUAAAGAAUGACAAGCAAUUUAAAAACAUUUUAUUGAUAGUUGUACAUAAGAAAUCGUAAAGUCAUAACUCAUUUCGUCUCAAGUCACAAAUCUCUUCAUAUCCACUCAUAAAUCGCUUCAUUUCAGUUCAUAAGUCUCAUUUCAAAUCAGUUCAUAAAUUCAUUUCAUACCGGCUCAUAAAUCAUUCUUUCAGAUCAGCUCAUAACAAGUACAUGUAAUGACCGGCUACUGAGUACUCAGCCUAGAGAUUAAACCCCUACUAGGUGGGCGACCAAUAAGUUUCAUGACUACCGAUUGGUCUCAUUCAUAUUUGGGUCAAUUGGCCGGACUCUAUACCAGGCUACCAUGACGAUAAGACAGGACUAUAGCCCCUACCGUCUAUUCCAUGACCAUUCUGAGCUUUACUGGUCAAAACUCAUUUCGUAUUUCAUAUACAUAAUUCCUUGCUUUCAUAAAAGAUUCAGCUCAUUUUGUAUAUAAGAACAUAUCAAAACGUUUCAAAUACGUCACAUGGUCCAUCUUUGUAUAGUAAAAUACAGCUUUCAUAAAUACCCAAGUAAAACAUUUAAUCAAACACAUUUCGAGUCCACAUAGCCAAGUAGGAUUGAAAACGAGAGUUUCAUUUACACAUUUGAAAAUCUCAGAAGGGUAAGUAUCGCCUACCUCUGUUUGGCUGCUUGAGUGGAACUACCUUAGAUCCUUGUAUCGUACCUAUCAAAUGCAUGAGUUCCCUAAUUAGUUGUUACUUCCUAUAGAUGCAUAAAUAUACAACCUCUAAGUAAGCAUAAGAUUCAUACCUAGACCAUUAAAUGGACCCUAAUAGCACCUCCCUCAAAUUGGACGAUUUCUAUUUUUGAAAAGUUUCCUAAUUUGGAAAGUUUCCCUUUUUGUAACGUUUCUUAAUUUAAAAGAAAAUAGUUACUCAUAAGCAUGUUUAUUAUCUUGACUGUUAUCUUACUAUACAUAUUAAUAAUUAUUUAUUAUUAUAUUAUUAUCGUCCUUGUCGUCGCUACUUUAUUUUAUUACCACUUAUAUAUAUCUAUUAAUUAGUUAUUAUUACCUUUCACUUUAUUUCUACCUUUGUGCGUGUGUAGGUGUUAUUAUUAUUUAUGUAUAUAUAAACCUAUAUAUAUAUUGUCUUGUUAUUAUAGUUAUUGUCUUAACCUAUUACACUUGUAUUUGUAUUUAUAUUUUCGUUUACAUCCUUAAUUUGUUUCAUCCAUAUUAUUAUUACUAUUAUUAUUAUUUUAAGCAUUUCGUUCCACAAUCUAAAGCUUAUCUUACAUUGUACAACUUAAUCUAAUAAGGCUAGGUUAAAAUGUUUUAGAUUUCUAUUUAAGUACUUUAGAUUUAAUUAAUAAAGUAAUAUUUUACAUGACUAACCCUCAAUUCUAACAAUUAUAUUAGAUUGGGUCUUGAGUUUUAAUAUUCACAAUAUACUAUAAAAAUGGACUAGUUAUAUUUAAAAUCUAUUUAUUAAAUAUUUACUAAAUUUUUAUACUAUAGUUUGGUCCAAGUUUAAAUUGCUCCCUUUCAACUUAUUUAUUUUGUUUAUUGUUAUCAUUAUUUUUCAUUUUAUUUUAUUUAUUAUUAUUAUUAUUAUUAUCAUUUUUUUUAAUUUCUGGUGGGCCCAUGGUCGGCCAAAUGGUCGCCAGACUCUAUUUCCCUCGGCCAACCGUAAUUGCUCCAUUGUCGCCAGCACUUGCUAGCGACAUCAUCUCAAUUUUUUUUUUUUUUUUUUUUUUAGUUUUGGUCUUGGGCCAACCUUGAAAUUCCUUCCUUUGCCGUCCGCAACGGGGGCUCUUUUCCCCCUUGUUUUUUUUUUUUUGCUUUUCCUCUUUUGUUGCGUUGCUUCUGCAACGCCUAGCAACAACAGGGCAGCAGCAGCCGCUGCUCUUUCCUCCUUUUUUUUUUCCUCUUUUAACAGAUUGGGAAAUCUAUUCAUCCAAGAUUAUAGUCUAUCACCCUAUUCCUACUAAUCCAAACAUGAAUCCUCCUAAUCUCUUAUAGAAACGCAUAUAUCAACAUGUAUAUAACAAUAAUAUAUAUUCAUAAAAUAUUUAGGAUAAAUAAUUCGAUUACUAGAAUUUAAAGGAGAGGUUUCAUGUGAAUUUGGGACUUACAUAUUUAGGUGCCUAGUUGACGGAUCGAUUGAUGGUGACGCCUUUUUCUCCUUUUCACCUCUCUGACGGCUCUUGCUCUAGGGAGGCAAACAAAAGAAAGGUAAGACUAGGGUUAUCUCUCUGUCUAGGGUUUUAAUAAAAUCCUAAACCUAACCCUACUUAUAUUAGAACCCCUUAUCCCAUCCUAUAGUUACUUUAUUUAUUUAUUUUUUUUACAUAGUAACUUUAUCUUUUUAACUAAUUGAGAAAAUAAAAUAAUAAGGAUAAAAUAAUAAAAUUGGUGCCAAAAGUCGUGGGUUUCACACGGAUACAUUCACAUACCUUUUAGUAGUUAAAACAUUCAGUAUAAAACUGAAAAUUUCAAACAUAUUUAUACUUUGAGUGCACCAGAAGAUGAAUUCCAAUUAAGUAAAUUCUGUUGUAUGUGCGUUUGAGUUAGUGCACAUGCAUUAAACAAUUUAAUUCUGAUAUUUUUGAAUGUCGCAUCAAUACUCACCCUUUCCUGUACUUUUCAAACAACAAUCAACGAAUUCUUUCCACUUUGUGCGCUAAGGUAUCUGCACAGAUUGGAAUAUGUUCUCACUUAAUGGUCAUAAUUCCAAGUGAAAUUAUGAAGGAUGGAAUACUUGCACAGAUGAACGAAUUGUUUCGAAUUAAAGAGUGUGAAGUUCAAGUAAGUUAAAGAUUUUGACUUUUAUAGUCAUUGCAGGCAGCCUGCACUGGUUCUCUAUCUGAUUUGAUGUUAGAAUUGAUUGUAUCAUUAGUCAUCGUAAUAAAUUUUUGUAAAUUAUUUAACUUUUCAUUGAGUUCUUGCAUGAACUCUAUAUGGUAUUAAAAUUGGCUUUUAAUAUUUGACGAAAACCCUUAAUUUUAUGAGUAAAUCUUAUAUACAUUGACAGUUUAUAUACCAUCAUCAUUUGAUUCAUGAUAUGUGUAAAAAUUAAAUUUCAAAUUCAAAUUUUACAUAGUUAUCAUUCAUCCAACGCUAAUAGAAUAGGAAAGAUUAAUCCUAAUUUUAUUUGUUUUUCUUAUGGAUAUGUCAUCAUGGUCACAUCAAAUAAAAUUCAUCCAAAACGUCAGGUCAUCAUGCAUCUAUCCUAAGGGCAAUUAUUAUCGUUCUGCAUUUGUUCAAAUACAGUAAUAAUAGAAGAAAACUUUUUAUUCUUGACGCUGACGUAUGACGGGCGUCAUCGAUCGAAAGACUUCUCCAAAACAUCCAAGACUUUGACAUGUAUUUUCUUUGCUCUAGGAUGAGAUUGUUAAGCAACAACUAGAAAGCAUAAGCUUGCUUAGUGGAUUGCUUUGGACAUCUUGGUUGCCAUAGGUCAAAGCCACCAUGGAGAAUAUGCUUCUAUUGCAUUUCAUUGCACAAUAAUUAUUAGGCCAGACAAUAGAAAUCUUCUCAUUUGCACUGUCAUGAGCUGGAAAGAAUGAGCUUGUUUUUCUCCAGGAUGAAAUGAAAAGAAGUUGAAGUGUAUGCUCAUUGCUUAGUCUCUGAUGUGCUAAGAUUUGUCCCAUAGGAAAGAAAAACUUCAGUUAGGUCUAUUCUUGUAGUAUAUCCCUUGAUGUGCUAUUGACUUCUUAGAUGCCCAUAACAAACAUGAUCGGUGGAGUUCCUGCCACAUUAUCUCACAGCCUUAAUAUUGAUGGUCCCUGACCCCUCUAGGUAUAUAUGGUCCUUUAGUUUUUGAAGGAAGAAGGCUCUUUAAAACUGCCCUUCAUGGAUGACAGUCUUUGCACCAGAAGAAGCGCGUCUGAUCCUCAGCCCCCUUAAGGAGCCCCUUACCAAGCCUCACUCUAAAAAUUUGACAUUUGCAAACAAUUUUUUUUUUCAUAAUAGGAGUAGUGAUUUUUAGAAUUCCAAGUCAAAUAAAUCACAAUUAUUUGAGAGUGAAUUUUCUGGAAUUCCAAGUCAAUCACAGAUAUUCAAAUAUAAAACAAAAGGUGUAAAGAGUAAUGGAAAACAUCAGAUGUUGAGUUGAGAAUAAUUCUAAUUAUGGAUUUACGGUUUAUAGAUUUUUGUUUGAUGUGAUUUCUCGUUGGUUGAAUCAUUGAUACAUUGACCGGGUUUCAUAAUAGGGCAAAUUCCACUUUACCCCCCUGUGGUUUAGCGUUUUUUCACAUAACCCCCUAUGAUUUCAAAAGCUAUACAUAACCCCCUUAUAGUUUGGAUUAAAGUGUCAAAGUAACGGAAAUAGUCACUCGUAACGGCGUCACCUAAAAUGUCAAAAAUACCCUUAUGUAAGGUUGAAAUUUAUGUAUUAAUCAAGGGGAGUUAUGUGUAUAUUUUGAAAAUCAUAAGGGGGUUAUAUGGUAAAGUAUUAAACCAUAAGGGGGUUAUAUGGUGAAAUAUAAAAAUCAUAGGGGGUUAAUGUGUCAUGUAUUUAUAAGGGUAAUUUCGACAUUUUUAGAAGUUCCAUUACGAGUGACUAUUUCCGUUACUUUGACACUUUAAUCCAAACCAUGAGGGGGUUAUGUAUAGCUUUUGAAACCAUAGGGGGGUUAUGUAAAAAAAGGGUAAACCACAGGGGUAAAAUGUAAUUUACCCUUCAUAAUAUUCAAGAGAGGGGAAUGGCCAAAUAGGUUUUGGAAUAGAAUUGAGUUAAUAAAAUCACAUGAGUUGUUACAUGUGUCAAAUUUUUAGGGUGAGAUUCAGUAAGAAGACUCCUUAAGGGGCUGAGGAUCAGAUGCGUAGAAGAAGUUUUAUGAUAGAAGAUUGAGGAGAACUUUAGCGGCACCUAGGGAUAGGAUUGCACAUCUACGUUAAAAAGGUUUUUUUUUUUUUGGGUUUAGUGGGGUGGUGGAAUAUAUAAGGAACAGAGAAGUUUCAAAGAUCAAAAUAAAAGAAAGGAUUAAUAUCCUGAUUAAAUACUAUACUCUGUCUCUUAAUUAGAUAAAUUAAAAUUUCUUUUAAUUCAUUAUUGAUUCCACGAAUCAAUCAGCUCAUACUUAUAGAUCAAGAUUAGCAUCUAACAAUGCAUCAUGUCGACCCAAGUAAUGCGAAAAGUUAAGUGGAUGACUUCACCUUUCAGUGAACAAUUACCAUGUAAUUAAUAUCCUUUUACUACACUUAUUUCACAUUAAUCUUGGAAUAAGUUAUGCCCAUUCCAUUAAUCAAUUAACUCAUACUUAUAGAUCAAGAUUGACAUUUAACAAUGUAUCAUAACCACCCAAGUAACGAGAAAAGUCAAGUGGAUAACUUCACCAUUCAGUAAACAUUUACCGUAUAAUUAAUAUCUUUUUACCACAUUUAUUUCACAUUAAUCUUGGAAUAAUUUAUGCACAUUCCAUGAUGUGAUUAAUGCUCAUUUCUUGUACCAAAUUAUAACUCCAAUGAAGCCGUACUUAGAAACACACUCUAAGAAUCUUCCACUUAACGUUAAGAAUUCCGAGUUAUACUUUACAAGCGGUCAGACAUGAGAUGACCUCUCUUUUUAUAAGAAAUGGUAAAUCUUCAUAUUCACUACCUUUUCGUACUUCAAGUAUAUACCCAUUUGUUAAUGAUAUGAGCAUCAUAUAACAAACAAAGUGUAUCUGUCCAUACUCAAAAUACCAUGAUAACCUUGAGUCUAAGGAUCACUUACACAAACGUUACUUAAAAAUUAAUCCUUUGGCACUUAAAGAAUAUCUCUAUACGGAUCAAUUUAGUAAAAUUAAUCAUUCUAUCAAGCAUCCAUAUACUAGUUUAGGUGUCUCGCACACCAUAGUAGAUGAGGUAUAGCACUUUUCAUAUUGAAGUGGUAUAGUAUAUGUUAGUUUAAUUGUAUUAACAUUACCCUUUCUUGGUAAUACUUUAACUAGAAAUAUUUAAAAAUAAACUUUAUUUAUAAUCGAAUGAAUCUCACCAUCAUAUAUUUUAUGAUUUCAUUGAUAGAUUUAUUUUAAGAGGUUUAUCAUGCAAAUAUAAGUAUAUUUGCAAUCAAUAUGAUAAAGAUGUCAUUUAUUAUAAUAUAAAUAAUUCAAGUGCGUAUUAAACUUUAGAGGUUGAAUGACUUUGGGGCAUAUACACUUUAAUCGCAUCAAAAUAUAUAUACUAUUCGUAAGAUUACAUGAAAACGCGUUUAAUGGUAAAUAUUUCAGCCAGCCAUGAUCGUGAAUUAUUAUUACUGUUAGGUUCUCUUGCCUAGUCCCGUGCUAUAGGCUGAAAUUCUUGGCACAUGUCCUCAUUUAGAACUACUAGUUUUUAAGCCCUGACUCCAUGCGUCAGGUAGCUGAGACUCAUUAUUUUGUUGUUAUAUUUGUUUUUUUUUUCUUUGUUAGAUAUAGUAGUCAUGUCACAUGUGUGUGUGUGGUUGUUUUUCCUAAUUGCACAAAUAAACAUGACUUUAAAAUCAGGUUAUCUUACAUUCUUAAUAUAGCAUUAAUCAGUAAGUAAUGCCUAAAAUUAAGCAAAACUAAAAGGCAUGAUUUUUUAACAUUCUUAAUGUAGCAUUAAUCAGUAAGUAAUGCCUAAAAUUAGGUAGAACUAAAAGGCGUAUGGCUAUACAUGUCUCCUAAUCAGGAUUUCAUAUUGGAUCCUAUUCUUUUUGUUGCAAUUCAGAUGAUUGUUUGAUUGAUAGAUUAAAAGUGUUCAAGAAUAACAGGAGCAACAAUGGUUUCUUUGGACAGGACAUCAUUUAUUGAAAAUGAGUCUGGACUCUCAAUAUUGAACAAUUUUAACUUGCAAGGGUGAAUAUGCAUAUUUUCUUAUUUUUCUUUCGUUCUUCCCUUUUUUAGGCUGUCUAUCUCUCUUUUUCUUUUUUCUUUUUUCUUUUUUUUUGGAGAUUUUGAUGAUUUUGGUUUGAUAAUUUGUAUGGGAGGCAACACUUUAUGUGGUAAGUACGAGGAGCAUGGAAGAAGCUUUUGAAUUUUCACUAAGAUAAUGGCUUAGAUAUAUACAAUAUCUAAUAAUUUUUUGAGCUUAAAAUUUUUCUUUUCUACUUUCUAGGUUCUUUGGAUUUAUGAUUCUUACUUAUUUGAUGUUUCUUUCUCUUACUUGGUUGAUGAUUUUUUUUUGGGUAAUCUGUAUCAUAAGCUGCAAAAUUAUAGGUUAUUUUGUGUUCUUAAAUCAUGUGCUAAAAUAGGUGAGUUUCUCUUUUAUUUUUCUUUUUAAAUAAAAGUGGUAUUCAAAAUCAAGAGAUAGUUGAAAACUUUAAAUGGUGAAUUCCAAAUCAACUUGCGUUUAAGGAUAGGUUAGAAUAAAAUGCUAAGAAAUAACCGGUGGAACUAUUCUACCAAAUGGGGUAAUAAACUCGUGUUUAAGGUUAGAAAAUAUGUAUUUAUUGAAUCAUUUUUUCAUGCUCGAAAAGAAAAGAGUUGGGUCUACUGUAAAAGUUCAAAAACUAUAAUCCAUUUGUUAAAUUAUACUUUUUUAUGAAGAAAGUUUAUUCUUUUGCAAAAGAAAAAAAAAUGUUUACAUGGGACCCUUAUGUAUAUAUAUUUUCAAAACAGAAAGACCCUCUAACCAUUUUAACUGAAGAAACAACCGCGGGUAGCAGCUUGCAGCAAAGUGCAAGGUUACAUCGCCCACUCACCACUGAUCUUAAUUUGUGAAGCGGUCUUAAUUUCCAUGCAAUAGACUUCGCAAGCGGAGUUAAUUUAAUUUUUUUUGUUAGUAAGAGGAGUUAAUUUUAAUUUGAUGGUGCAAAUUUGAAUGUAAUAUGUUUCGUACAAUGGGACAGUUAACCAGAAGCCAGCCUAAUAUUUACGAAUUUUGCUCGCAAAAGGAAACCACACCUGAAGAAGGAAAGUAAACGUUUUCUUGCCCCACCAACAAUACCAAAUGCCCUCAAAGUUGGUGAAAAUUACUGGAUAACCGGUCCACUCACCACUCCAAGAGAGCCAGCGGACAGAAGCAAAAUGCCAGCAGAGCCACUGCCACCCAUCACCAAAAGACCAAAAAGCCUCUCAAGCUCACAAAAAUAACGGCAUAACCGGUCCAUUCUGCACUGUUCACAAGCGAUUCGUGCUUUAUAUAUGUAAGAUUAAUAGGUAGGCGCCAUUUUUUAGUUUUGAAUCCUCCAUCUCAUUUUUGGUUUCAGUUGUUACCCCACUUUUCUAUUGUUCAAUUUUUUGUUUUAAUCUCUAUCUUGAUUUUUUUUAUCAUGUUUAAUUUUUCUUGCAACUCUAUUUUGGUAUAUAAUGGAUAUACCGGGUAAUAUACUCAGGCAUGGCAAGAAAAUAAAGGCAAAACAGAGACUGAAACCAGAUAUGGGAUGAGGAUUCAGAGCACAUUUUCCGUCACUCGAAAAUUGUAUGAAUAUGAGAAGACAUGACAAGACUUAGCAGGUACCAAACCUGCAAAUGUUUCAAUUAUUUUGCAGCACUAACGUUCCCCGGCCCCAGUGGUCAGCCACAAAACCCACUUACCAGUUGGCUAGAAAGGCAAAAGAAGAAUGGUAAUGCAAUUGUUAGUGAGAAACAAGGUAGCAGAGUUGACUGUUCCUGCAAAACCUACUCCCCAAGAAUUGGCAAGAAAUAAGACCACUUUCUGAUAUAGACGAUCAAAGUUCCACAGAUUUCUUUUACCCAUGACUAUGUUUUUUUUUUUUGGCUAUAAUCAAUUCAUGGAUUAAUUUGUGUCCACCAAAAUAACACUCUUAACAGAUGGUGUUUUGUAGGCAUGACAGUCACAAAAAUAACUUGAUGUCUUGCUCCAAAAACCAACUAAAAUUUUUUAAGUACACAUCAUGUUGGGCCGCGCUCCUCAAGAAUCGUCAAUCGCAAUUAUUUGAAAUAAUACUGAGUUUGUUUGGAUAAGAGUUUAUUUGAGAUAUUUACUGUAACGCUUUUUGUGAUGUGAUGUAUGUGAGAUAAAAAGGUGAUUGAGAAGAUAAAAAGAUGAUUGGGAUUUGUGAAAAUAAAUUUUGCAAAUCAAAUUAUCUUUGUCCAAACAAACUCACUGUGUCUGUUGGGGGCUUAUGGCCAAAGGACUUUGCCCCCGCCUGCUGGUCGGGAGGGGGUGGGCGGCGCCGUGGAGGAAGGGAUAAAAAAAUAAAAAUAUAUAACCACACAAAUGACUUUUAUCUUUUUAAAAUUACUAAAUAAUCAUGGAUCCACUGCAGUUGAAAAACUUGGUAAGGCUCACACACUGGGAUAUAACUAAGAAAAGCACCAAGGUUCCUUGCAGUCUUACGAAAUCUAAGUGUUUUAAUCCCCAAAACUCAUUAAACACAUAGAAGUAAUACGUUAGAAUACUUUUAAUAGCUCACACACUGGAAGGAUACAUUCAAAUACUUUUUAGUAGUUCAAACAUUCAGUAUAAAACUGAAACUUUCAAACUUAUUUAUACUUUGAGUGCACCAGAAGAUGAAUUCCAACCAUUAACUAAAUUCUGGUGUAUAUGCGUUUUGAAUUAGUGCACAUGCAUUAAAGAACUCAAUUCUGAUAUUUUUGAAUGUUGCAUCAAGCCCAUUUCCUGUACUUUUCAAACAACAAUCAACGAAUUCUUUCCACGUUCUGAUCUAAGGUAUCUGCACAGAUUGAAAUAUGUUCUCACUUAAAGUUUUUUUUUUUUUUUUUGGUUUGGGAGGUGGUGGCAUAGGUAAGGAACAGAGAUGAAUUAAUAUCCUGAUUAAAUACUAUACUCUGUCUCAGAAUCUAUUCUUUUAGUCACGUGAAAAUUUGUCCACACCUUUCAAUAAAUCUGUGUUAAAAGGAUUGAUUUUAGACCCAUGAUAUAGUCACAAAUAUAGACGUAGUGAAGCAAUAAGAUCAGUAGCCAACAAGCUUUUAAUAGAGUUUGGAGCUAGGACAAGCAAAAACUUUGUAGCCUGAUUGCAUCUUAAGAGCCUUAGUUUUUUAUGGAAGAAGGCUUCUUAAAACUGCCCUUUAUGGAUGACAGUUUUUGCACCAGAAGAAGUUAUAAGGUAGAAGAUUGAGGAAAACUUUGGCGGCCACUAGAGAUAGGAUUGCACGUCUACAUAAAUCCCCAUGAAUAGUUAGAGAUUUUAGAGAUAAACGACAAAGGAAUUUAGAGAUUUUUUUUGUGUGUUGGGGAGGGGGAGGAGACAGAUAAGGAAAAGAGAAGUUACAAAUGUCAAAAUAAAAGAAAGGAUUAAUAUUGUGAAUAAAUACUGUCCUGUCGCAGAAUCUAUUCUUUUAACACUUUAAUCACAUAGAAAUUUUGUCCACACCUUUCAAUAAAUCUGUGUCAACUAGUUUUCCUUAACCAUAUCCCCACGAAUCUAUAUAGUGACUCAUCAUCUUGAUAUUCUGUUUAGCACAAAGACAAUUGAAGUGAUCUGCUUUUGAUUAAAUGGGACUUCCAUUGCAAUAAUUAGUAGUUCAAAACAGUAACAAUUUCACUCCCAUUUCAAGCAAAGACUACUUGUAAAAAGUAAGUAAUAAUUCCUUUUAUGCUUCUCUGCUAUAUAAUUAGUCAUCCACAUUGUCCGUUUUCAAGUGUGGUUAUCAACAAGGGUUAGGGCAUUGUGUCAACAAAGAGAGCCGGAGGCCCCAUGUCAGCUCCAACAACCAAGACUGAACCAAAGAGAAACCCCCCUGAAAGAGUCCCAUACUCGAAGCCUCCCUUCACCAUUGGUGAUAUCAAGAAAGCCAUCCCCCUCACUGCUUUAAGAGAUCGCUUCUUCGCUCAUUCGCCUAUCUUGUUCAUGACAUGACCUUUGUCUCUCUAUUCUACUACAUUGCUACAACUUUUUUCCAUCUCCUUCCUUCUCCAUACAACUACCUUGCCUGGCCUGUUUAUUGGUUUUUUCAGGGCUGUGUUUGCACUGGAGUUUGGGUCAUCGCUCACGAAUGCGGCACCAUGCAUUCAUCGACUACCAAUGGGUGGAUCACACAGUUGGUUUUAUCCUCCAUUCCGCACUUAUGGUCCCCUACUUCUCGUGGAAGUACAGCCCCGCCGCCACCACUCCAAAUACUGCAUCACUCGAACAUGAUGAAGUCUUUGUGCCGAAGCCAAAAUCCAAAAUAGAAUGGUACUACAAGUACCUGAGCAACCCUCCAGGCAGAGCCAUCACUCUCAUGAUUACGCUUGCAUUGGGUUGGCCCUUGUACUUGGCCAUCAAUGCUUCAGGCAGACAAUAUGAUCGUUUCGCAUGCCAUUAUGAUCCUUAUAGUCCAAUCUAUAAUGCUCGCGAGAGGCUUCCAAUCUACAUUUCUGAUGUUGGUGUCUUUGUAACAACUUAUCUGCUCUAUCGUGUAGCACUCGCAAAAGGGCUAGCAUGGCUUAUAUGCAUCUACGGGCUACCGUUGCUCAUUCUAAAUGGCUUCACUGUUUUCAUCACGUAUCUACAGCACACUCACCCUUCAUUGCCACACUAUGAUUCAUCAGAGUGGGAUUGGCUGAGGGGCGCGUUGGCAACAGUUGAUAGAGAUUAUGGUGUCUUGAACAACGUUUUCCAUAACAUCACAAACACACAUGUGCCUCAUCAUCUCUUUUCAGCAAUGCCACAUUAUCAUGCAGUGGAGGCAACUGAAGCAAUGAAGCCAAUUCUGGGGGAGUAUUAUCAUUUUGAUGGCACUCCUGUCUACAAGGCAAUGUGGAGGGAGGCAAGAGAGUGUCUUUAUGUUGAGCCAGAUGAUGGAAGCAAGGGUGUUUUUUGGUACAAUAAUAAGUUUUGAUGGGAUUAUCUGAUCCUGAUCAGCUAAUAGUGUGAACUGUUAUUAGUGAAGGUGCAUCUUUGGUGCCUUCUUUUGCUCUGGUGAAAUGCAUGUCUAAGUUUAUGUAAAAUUACCUUGUGCUAAUAAACUCAGAAGUCAUAGCCUACGUUUCUUGUAACUCGUAUGCUUUUUGUUUAUCUGUAGAAAAAGAAUCAAAACUAGUCCAUUUCACAUACCAACAAGUCUCUUAAUUAUAUUGCUUAUUCAUGAAUAGGUUCCAUAGGUUGGAUCCGCAGUGGCAAGGUCAUGACAAUGAGAAAAAAGUCAGUUUCGGUCGGUUUGCUUCUUAGAUAAAAUUAGACUAAUUAGACUAAGAAAAAUAAUAAGUAUUCAAAGCAUUCAUGUUAUGAAUCUAAGUAUGUUUAGACAGUUAAACAAAAUUCCCAUUCCUCACACGGUUUUGCAACUGGUUUUAAAUUACUUGAGUAAUCUGAAAUCAUCUCUAAUUUAUUAGAUGCUCCUAGAAAACAGAUUUUUUACUUUUCUUUUGUAUCUAAACACUUUCAGAAGCAAUCGAGUUAAGAAAAAUCUCUGUCAAAUUCUCAACAUCAGGAGUACUUCUACCAUAAUUUUGCGUUGUCAUUCUUUGUAAACUCAAUGGAUGUGUCCCGCAUUCCUUUCUUAAAGUUUCUAGUUCCUAAUUUAAUUUUGAAUGGUGAUGGCAACAAAUGCAAAAAAUAUUUAAUAGUUGUUAGUUGUUACAACACUGAUUUUCCCAUAAUAAAGCUAAUAAAUUCCAUUUGCAACUCUUUACCACCACAAACUCUCCAAACGUAUGCUGGAAUAUCUGAUUCUAACUCUCAAAAGAAUAUUAAUUUGGCUUAGCCCUUCAAGUCCACAAGGUAGAGGAUUUUUUUUCCCCUUUUGUGGUAUAAGAAAAAGAUUCUUACAACUAGGAAGUUCUAUACCCAACUGGAAUGAAACAAAGAAAUUUCUAUAUGUAUUUGGAAUGUUACUUUUGAAAGAAUAUGAGAUUUAACUUCCUUUGAGGUUUAUGACAAUUGCAAAAAGUGUCCUUUAUUUAAAAAAUUACACCUACCUCCCCUCAUAGCAUAAAAUGACAUAAAUAACCUUCAUGAAUUGCUCAAUUUAACAUCUCCGUGAAGUGAAGUAAUGUAUUUGUAGUAUUAAAGUUGACAAAUCAUUAAAGAAAAGAGAAAAUUAAACAAAGAAGAGCAAGAGUAAUAGAUUCUAUCUUGUUCUAACCACCCAAAUCACCUCAUUCCAAUCUUACUUAAUACUAUAGUUGAUAAGUGACUAAUUUACGUAAUAAGUGUAUGAUAUUUUAUAUUAUUUUUAGUCACUUUAGUUAUAUUAUUGGAAGAAAUGAAUCAUUUUGGUUAUAAUUGGUGAAAAAUGCUUUUAAGUGAUUAAAUGAGGUUUUUAUCACUUUUUAGUGGGAUUUUGUGUAUUUUGACAGUUUUGACACAUUUUCGUAUUUCGGCUAUAACUUGAGCUACAAUGAUCGGAUUGGGAUGAUUCUUGAACCCAUUUGAAGAUAAGAGAUAGAUCUACAACUUUGGUGAAGACAUCUGAAUCCAGUUUGAAGGUUUUCUAGGUCAAAAAGCCGAAGUACAGAGUCAAUUGCUAUUGGUCGAAACUGGAACAAGGCAUGGAGCAGGCAAGGGUAUUCCAGUCAUAUCUCAGCCUACACAGAUCCAAAUGAAGUGAUUCUUGAUGCAUUGGAAAGAUAACUCAAAAGGCUACAACUUUCGUGUUUUAGACAUGAGCUGGUUCAGCCUCUAACAUCAAGAAAAGAUCAGUUGAACUUGGGACAAAAAUAGAGCAAGUGAUCCACACUCGAAUCCACUAUUCAUCCGAACCCUCGGCUGUUUCUGGGAUAGUGGAACCGAGCUCGGAUCCAUACGGAUCCGAGGUACUGUAGCAGCUCGGAUCACUGUAGCAGCCCAGAUUUACUGUAGCAAUCCGGCCUGAAUUUGGCCGGAUUUGUGGCCGGAUUCCUGGCCGAAUUAUGGUCAGAGAAGUCUGCUUUUUACGCGGAAAACUCAAUUUCACCUCCACCAACUCACAUGCGUUGCUAGACAUGUGAGAAACAUUACCAGCUGUAAGGAGAAAGUGUAAAGCUUCAUUCCUUGACCACCUUUCAUCAUUAAAUAGCCAAAUUCAUUGCAAGAGGAAGAGAAGGGAGUCCAUAGCAGAGAUACAGCAAGAGAGAGAGACAUACGGGAGAAGCUUGGAAGAGCAGAAAUGUAGUUUUUCCAUUCUCUUAGUAUUAGUUUAGCUUAGUAUAGAGUAGUAUAGUUCAUCCAUUCUUGUUUAUUAUCUAGAUUAGGAUGAAGAUGGAGGAUGAAGAAGGCAAGGAAGAAAGCACAUGUGACAAGGGUUGUAUUCCUUCCAAACUCUUUAUCUUUUGUAUUUGAUUCCAAGUUUAGUUAAUAUACAAGUUCUGGAUUUUGUGUGUAAUAUGUGUAUCUAAAGUUUAAGCCUUGGGUUUGGUUGAACUUUCUAUAAUUGUUAGUGUUUAUUAUUUGGUUAUUUGACUGCUAUGAUUUGAGCAAGUUAUUUAGCACUUUGGCUUCUUAAAUCAUGAUUAAUCUGGUACCAUUGAUUGUGAUUAUCUAAGGUGUUGUUUCUGCAAUGAAAAUUGAGAUUUAACACUAGUUCAAGAAGUGCUAAACAUAGGGAGUACACUCAUGAAAGUAGAGGUGCACUUAUGUGGUUUUUAGUGAUUCAUUUCAUGUAAUUUCAUUGAAGAAAUGAACUUGUAGCUAAUUUCAUAACCAUGAAAAUAGGUAUGGAUUAGUUAUGAGUAUAGUUGAUUCACUACGAAAGUAGGUUUCACAUGUUUAAGGAAAUUACACUAUAACUAGCCUAGAUGUAGUACUAAAUGAUCCAAAUAUAGCAUUUGCAUGAGUAGUUAGGGAUACCACAACCUAAGGAGCUUUUAUUUGUUAUUUUGUAUAAUUUCAGUAGGUUAAAUUUGUUAUAAUUCAUUGAUAGUCUAAAUAAUAGAGAAGCUUUAGUAAUACCGGUAAUUGUUCACUCUUCCCUAUGGGAUCGACCCGAUAUAUACCCUAAACUACUAGUUGAUCUGUAUACUUGCAGUGAACGGGUGUAAUUCGGUAUUUUUUAACUUGCACGUAUGUAAAAUACCCGUCAAGUUUUUGGCGCCGUUGCGCCGGAAAGAUUUGGCAAUAUCGGUGUGAAGAGUAACUUUAUUAGUUUAGACAUAUUAUUAGUUAUACUGUGACUGUUAUUUUCUGUUAUUUUUGUAUUAUAUGUGUAUGUGUUUUAUCACCUAUUCUUCUUACUAAUCUUGCUUUUAAGUUGUUUAAAAGCAAUUUUAGGUAAUGAGGAGGGUAGGUCAAUUUGGAGGACAAUGCUUGAGAAAUGGAAGAUUGGCAAUGGAUGGUUACCAAGUGCAAAGCUCCUUCAAUAGAGGUAACCAAGAAAUUACUAGAGGUAUGUCUUAUGAAGAUGGUUUGAAGUGUUUAACGGAAAAAUUUGAUGUAAUCAUGUUACAAGUUCAAAUGGACACAAUUAUGCAUGAAAUUGAGCAAGGGAGGAAUUUUAAUGCUUUUAAUUCUUAUCAUAUGAUUUGUGACUUGUGUGGAGGUUAUCAUGCAACUAAUACAUGUAUGCAAGCACAAAAUGUGGAUUACUAAGAUGAAUUAGAGCAUUACAAUCCUUGUUUUGAUCAAUAUAGUGCUAAUUGGAGCAAUUCUCCUGCUUAUGGUUGGGAUAAUCAAUUUACUUAUAGUAAUUCUUCAUAUUUUUAUGAUUACCAAUCUGAAUGUGUCCAAUAUGAAUCAAAACCAUGUUGGGAGUUGGCAAUAGAAAAAGUAGCUAAUGAUUCUGACGGGUAUUUUACAUACGUGCAAGCUAAAAAAUACCGAAUUACACCCGUUCACUGCAAGUAUACAGAUCAACUAGUAGUUUAGGGUAUAUAUCGGGUCGAUCCCACAAGGAAGAGUGAACAAUUACCGGUAUUACUAAAGCUUCUCUAUUAUUUAGACUAUCAAUAAAUUAUAACAAGUAAAAUCUACUGAACUUAUGCAAGAAAAUAACAAAUAAAAGCUCCUUAGGUUGUGGUAUCCCUAACUACUCAUGCAAGUGCUACAUUUGGAUCAUUGAAUACUACAUUUAGGCUAGUUAUGGUGUAAUUUCCUUAAACAUGUGAAACCUACUUUCGUAGUGAAUCAACUAUACUCAUAACUAAUCCAUACCUAUUUUCAUGGUUAUGAAAUUAGCUACAAGUUCAUUUCUUCAAUGAAAUUACAUGAAAUGAAUCACUAAAAACCACAUAAGUGCACCUCUACUUUCGUGAGUGUACUCCCUAUGUUUAGCACCUCUUGAACUAGUGUUAAAUCUCAAUUUUCAUUGCAGAAACAACACCUUAGAUAAUCACAAUCAAUGGUACCAGAUUAAUCAUGAUUUAAAGAGCCAAAGUGCUAAAUAACUUGCUUAAAUCAUAGCAGUCAAAUAACCAAAGAAUAAACACUCACAAUCAUAGAAAGUUCAACCAAACCCAAGGUAUAAACUUUAAAGACACAUAUUAAACACAAAAUCCAGAACUUGUAUAUUAGCUAAACUUGGAAUCAAGUACAAAAGAUAAAGAGUUUGGAAGGAAUACAACCCUUGUCACAUGAGCUUUCUUCCUUGCCUUCUUCAUCCUCCAUCUUCAUCCUAAUCUAGAUAAUAAACAAGAAUGGAAAAGCUACACUACUCUAUACAAAGCUAAACUAACACUAGGAAGAUGAAAGAGCUACAUUUCUGCAGCUUCAAGCUUUCUCCCGUAGCUCACUCUCUAUUUUUCUGCUAUGAACUCCAAUCUCUCCUAUCUCUUCUUGGAUCCCUUCAAUCUUGCAAUCUUGGCUAUUUUAUGAUGAAAUAUGGUCAAGAAAUGAGGCCUCCACCUUCCUUUUACAGCUGGAGAUGUUUCUCACAUGUCUAGCAUCCCAUGUGAGUUGGUGGAGGUGAAAUUGAGUUUUCCGCGUAAAAAGCAGACCUCUCUGACCACAAUCCGGCCAGAAAUCCGGCCACAAAUCCGGCCAAAUUCCGGCCGGAUUGCUACAGUGACCAUUUGGUCACUUCUGGUUCAAUUUCCAGCUCUGCUCCGAUUUUGACUCAACUUCAACUGAACUUUUCUUGAUGAUAAAAGCUGAUUUAGCUCUUGACCAAAACAUAAAUCUUGUAGCCCUUUGAGUUAGCUUUCCAAUGCAUCAAGAAUCACCUCAUUUGGAUGUGUGUAGGUUGAGAAAUGACCGAAAUACCCUUACCUGCUCAAUGCCCUGUUCCAGUUUCGACCAGUAGAAAUUUGCUAUUGUAAUUCGCGCAUUUUGAUCCGGAAAACCUUCAAACUGGAUUUAGAUGUCUUCACCAAAGUUGUAGAUCUAUCUCUUAUCUUCAAAUUGGUUCAAGAAUCAUCUUAAUCCGAUCACUGUAGCUCAAGUUAUAGCCGAAAUACGAAAAUGUGUCAAAACUGUCAAAAUACACAAAAUCCAAGUAAAAAGUGAUAAAAACCUCAUUUAAUCACUUAAAAGCAUUUUUCACCAAUUAUAGCCAAAAUGAUUCAUAUUCUUCCAAUAAUAUAACCAAAGUGACUAAAAAUAAUAUAAAAUAUCAUACAAUUAUUACGUAAAUUAGUCACUUAUCAAACUCCCCCACACUUAAAUCAUUGCUUGUCCUCAAGCAAUCCACACAUAAUCAAAUGCAAUGAUUCAAGAGGUGAAACAAUAUAUGCACUUUGUCCAAUUUAAUUCCUCAAGACUUGGAAAAUAAUCAUUAUACAAUUAUUCAAUUUACACUAAAUACUCAUAAUAUCAAGUAAAGGAAAGAUAAUUAUACCCUAAAUUCAACAAGUUAAACUUAAUCUCUUACCCUAACUUAAUUUUACAAAUAAGUAAAUCACAUAGUCAAUUUAUAGCCUUCCUCCUCCUUAUAAUCAUCUUUUUCUCAAAAUUCUAUAACUAAGAGGGAUUUAUUCACACAAAUUUUACUUAAAUAGUGAGAAUGCCUUUUUACGCGAAAAUCGACACUUUUAGGUGAAGAUCCCCGGUUACUCAACAUUUCACUUAUUCAAGUUGCUAAUGCAUACUCUUAAUUCAAGUACCUUUUUACGCGAAUGUCAACAUUUGUAGAUGCCAACCCCCGGUUACUCGGUAGGUGAAUCAUUGGAGUAGAACAAUUUUUAUUUACUUUCUUUUCUUUUCUUUUUUUUUCUUUUUUUUUUCUUUAUUUUUCCCUCAUAGAAAAAAAUAUAUAUAGAAAUAAUCAAAGGAGGAGUAUAACCUUUUAUCAACUAUAUCAAUCACUUAUUUAUAAAAUUAAGUAAAGAGAAGAAAUUUCAUUAAACAUGUAAAAUUAUAGGCGUAAUUUUCCUCACUUUACCGAAUAUACUUUCUAAAAUGUAAAAAUCCUAAUUGCAUAAUAACCAUUUCCAAGUUAAAUGAGGACUAAACUUUUCAAAAUACAUAUAACAUUUCAACAAUUGGAAGAAUUAAACACUUAAGGUUGGAAUACUUUGGCCCUUUUUGAAAUAAAAAUGAAAAAAUUGAAGAACUUUUGGGCCAUAGCGAAAUAUUGGACAUGAUGUUAGAAAAAUUUUGACGGAGUUUCCCCAUAUAAAUGGAAGAAAACUCCCUGCCAACAAACCCAAUUUCAAUCAAAUUAUCCACAUGGCAAAUAAUUCAAACACAAUUCCAACAUUUCUAAGCAUUUAAAUUCACAAAAUAUCAUCACCUAGCAAGUAAAUGCAAGUUCAAUAUUUUCCUCCCCCACACUUAAACUUCACAUUGUCCUCAAUGUGAGAAAAAGAAAAUAAAUAGAGUAAAAGAAAAUACUGCUCAAUUGAACUUGCGCAAUCCGAAUCCAUGUCCAAGUGAUGAAUUUCCAACCGUAUUUGAAAAGAAUGGAGAGUUCACUUAUUGCACCCUGAAAAAGACAAAAUCAAAACAAAUAAAUUUCUUAAAAAUAAAAGGUUGCAAUCAACAAAAUCAUGCAAUUCAAGGAAAAAGGAAAAAUGAUCAAGCAUGUGGAACCAUACAAUGUUCAAGGGAUAAAAACAUGAAAUGAGCUAAUCUUUGCUAAUCAAAUAUAUGCAUUAGUAUCCAAAGCAAAGGGAAGCUAAUUUCACACCAAAAAAUCCACAAUCAUGAACAAAAUAAGUUCCAUAUAUACAUUUUGUCAUCAAUGAUCAAAUCCCCGCAAGUACAAAAGUAAUCUCAAAAUGGAGACAAACACACCAAACCAAAAUAUAGAUGACCUUCUUGAGAAUUCAUGAAAUACUAAAAACCAUUGAACCACAAGAUUAUAAGUGCAUUUAUGAAUUUCAUCAAUUAAGGUCAUCUUCAAUUCACCUCUUCUUUUAGAAUUACCUAAGAAUUUACGAAAUUAUUCAACCAAGCACCUUUUCAUUCAUUAGGUAAUCUAAAUUACUCACAUGAAUAUCAUAAACUCCCACAAAACUAAUUAAAAUGCUACAUUGGCCACUUAAUAUGCAACUUGAUCACUAAGCCAAAUUAAGCAUAAAAUUAGCAAAAUUUCACCAAAUAAUGACAAACUCAUGAGUUAAACAUCACCAAUAAUCAUCAAUAAGCUCAAUAAGCACAAUGUAAAGCACCAAACUUCACAAAAUGAAAAAAAUUCGAAAUUGCCCAAAAAUAGAAAAAAAAUAAAAAUUGGCAAAAUUCAAAUAACAACAUUUGGUGAAGAUUUGUUACCUCAAACUUGUUGGUUGAUGAUUAUGGAUGCCAAUGGUGAUGAAACCCCCAAAAUUUCACUCCAAUUCGGCCUCAAAUGAAGAGUUCAAAAAUUUGAAACCCUUGUUCUUGCUAAGCUAAAAUCCGAAUUUAGACUUGUUUUGAAGAAUUUUUAGCUAUGAAAUCAUCUCUCAAGUAAAAGGGGAGUGUUUUGGUAUAGUUGGUUUGAAGAUUGGAUGGUGAAAAGAGUGAGUUUAGUGAGUAGUGUGUGUUUGAGGUGUUAGUGUGUGAGUUGGGUUGAAGAAGAAGGAAGAAAAAUUGUGAGGAAUCCGUGAAAUGGAUUCAUCUUACGCUGGUUACUGUUCACAAUCCGGCCAGAAAUUGGAGGGAUUCGUGGAGGAUUCUGGGCAAAAAAAAAAAAAAAAAUUUUUGUUUUUUUUUUUUUUUUUUUACUGUUGCAUAUCCGGCCAGUUUUUGGCCGGAUUUCCGGCCGGAUUAUUGGCCGGAUUUGCUACAGUGGAUUUUUUUUUUUUUUUUUUUUUUUUUUUACAAUCCGGCCAUUUCAGGCCGGAUUUUCGGCCGGAUUCUGUCCAGAAUGCUCGAAAAAAUUUUCUUUUCUCC
This 53210-nucleotide long non-coding RNA is filed under the name Coffea arabica (coffee). RNAcentral describes it as "long non-coding RNA (CARA_LNC000078)". The record is from RNAcentral. Lineage: Eukaryota; Viridiplantae; Streptophyta; Magnoliopsida; Gentianales; Rubiaceae.